ACCAUGUUCCCCUAGUCCUUGACGCGGGUAUCCUUGCUCUCGCCUCGUCUUCUCACUUCCAAUUUGAUGCCUCUUGGCUGGUGGUUGAGGGCUUUUGUGAUAUGUGGGUUCUAAGAUGUCUANNNNNNNNNNNNNNNNNNNNNNNNNNNNNNNNNNNNNNNNNNNNNNNNNNNNNNNNNNNNNNNNNNNNNNNNNNNNNNNNNNNNNNNNNNNNNNNNNNNNCCCCCCCUACGCCUCUCCUCGCCCGUUCCCCGCCAUGGCCGAAGCCUCCAUGGACACGCUGCCGUAACCCCGCACCCACAGCCACUGCCCCACCUCUCCGACGUGAUCCCGAGCUCCGCCCCGACGUCGUCGUCCUCUCCAUCGAGUCACGCGGCGCCAGAAGCUCUGCUGCAUCUCCAACGCCAUCGUUUCCGACCUCGGGUGCCGGUGAUCCCCGCCGUCGAUUCGCCGGACCCCGUGCCUCCCCUGCCUCGCCAGCAGCACCAGAAGAACCGUGGUGAGCCGCUGCAUCGUUUCCCCCAUGCCUCGUUGUCUAAUUCGCCCCCUAGCCACAUCAACCACCGGAGCCGAGAGCUCUUCGCCGCCGGCCAUGUCGCCGCCGUAGCCACGGUUGCCUAGAACUGCAACCGAGCACGCAGCCGUGCUCAGUGCACCCCCAGGAGGCCAUAGCACCCAUCCGCACCCUCUGCUGCGCUCCCUAACGCCGACUCCGAGCUCACCCGAGCUCCGGCCGCCGCCUCGCUCGCCGUCGGCACCGAUUCCGGCCGCCCCGAGCGCAACUGACUCCACCAGGAGCUUCGGCUCGUCCCCAGCUCCUCCUAGAUGCCCUCAGCGGCCCAUUUGGUCGCUGGAGUGGCCAAAACCACUCUCGCCGCCGCGCUAAUGGUCGCCGCCGGCCAGAACUCCGGCGGGCUGACGUGGCUUAGUUAAUUAGCCACUAACCCCCCCACCUACUGACGCUGACAAGUGGGCCCCAGGGCUUAGUCAAAGCUAACCAGCCCAGGUUUGACUCGGGGUUAACCCCCUGUCACUGACGUGUGGGUCCCACACGUCAGGUUUGACCCUGGACAGCUCGGUUGACCCUGCUGACGUCACUAUUACGUCAUGCUGACGCAGUAUUUGUUCUGGAAUUUAAAUAAAUCCUAAAUGAUUUAUAAAUUUCAGAAAAUGCCUAAAACUUCAAUAAAUCAUAGAAAAUUAACCGUAACUCCAAAUUAAAUAAAUUAUAUAUGAAAAAUUAUCAGAAAAAUUCAAGGAAUCCAUCUGUACCAUUUUCAUGCAUGUUAGAACAACUUAUCACUACUGUUUAGGGCAAAUGAAGUAAAUGGCAUUUGAAUAAUCACAUAUGGAGUUUGAAUUUGAAUCUUGUAUUCAAACCAACUUCAUUUAAUCUGUUGCUAGUUGCAUUAGCUCAAACACAUUCAUUUUGCCAUGUCAUGAUCAUGCAUCAUAUUGUGCAUUGCAUUGAUUGUGUUCCCUUCUGUGUUGCCGGUAUUUGUUCCCUCUCGAUAGACGUGAUACCGAUGAUGUGAUCGUUGACACUGAUGAAGACUCAAUGUUAUCUUCAGAAGUGCCAGGCAAGCAAAACCCCCUUGUUCAUUCCGAUACAAUCCUACUCUCUCGCUCCUGCUCUCUUUUAAUGCAUUAGGACAACACCGAUUCAUCUGUUACUUGCUGCGGUAGUUGAACCCCUUUAUCCUUUGCAUGACCUGUCAUUGCCACAGUAAUUAGAUGAAACCCACUAGCAUGAGUAGGAGUUGUUUGAGCCCUGAUGUGCCUACUCAUUCAUGCUUGUUUGUCAUGCCUGCUACUGCUUAGAGUUGAGUCAGGUCUGAUUCAUCGGGGAUGAAUCAGAGGCGUGUGAACAUGUCCUACUGUGUGUGAGCUAAGUGUGUGAACACGAUUUGGUAAAGGUAGCGGUGAGAGGCCAUGUAGGAGUACAUGGUGGGUUGUCUCAUUGUAGCCGUCCUCAGGAACUGAGUUCUGUGUUUGUGAUCCAUGAUUCAGCUACUACCAUACAUUGGGCCCUGAAAUAUGACCCCGCUCGACUUCUUAAUCACCCUUGUCCUCUGUCCAGGAGUUGCAAGUAGUUUCUGGUGUUUGUAGUAUGCUGGAGGCCGUGGACAGCGCUGACCGUAGGGGUGGGCUGUGAUGCGGUAGGCACGUGGCCGGGUAAACCGGGCGCCCGUUUGGUGUCACGGAACCCUGUUCACAUCGUUUGGGGCUGUGAGCGAAACUCCGGCCGGAUCUCCUCAUGGAUGGAACCCGAAUAGGCGAUAAACCUGGACUAGAGACUUGAGUNNNNNNNNNNNNNNNNNNNNNNNNNNNNNNNNNNNNNNNNNNNNNNNNNNNNNNNNNNNNNNNNNNNNNNNNNNNNNNNNNNNNNNNNNNNNNNNNNNNNAGGCCGUUGAUGCUCUGCUUUUACACGACGACAGACGUCGCAAUUAGCAAUAUACUGAGCGAUUUCUCUCUUCAUCCUAGUCCACCAGAACCUCUGGCGUAGGUCCUGAUACAUUUUUGUGCUACCGGGAUGAAUGGUGAGAGGAGAUUCAUGAGCUUCCUUAAGGAUUAAUCGCCUUAGGUUGCGCACCUUGGGAACCACUAGUCGAUCCCCGAAGUAUACGACUCCUUGAUCAUUAACAGAGAAACAAUUCGCAAUUCCUUUCUGAAUGUUUCUCUUGAUGCGGGAGAUUCCCGGAUCUACCUUCUGUGCUUUGAUAAUUUGAUCCGUAAGGGUAGGUUUUGCCACCAAGGUGGAGAGAAAACCUUGAGGUACAAUGUGAAGGUUAAGCUUCCGAAAUUCCUCAUGGAGAAGCGGUUGACUUUGUUGUAACAUCAGGUUGUUACAAUAAGACUUACGACUUAGCGCAUCAGCCAUGACGUUGGCUUUCCCUGGGGUGUAGGUUAUUCCUAAGUCGAAGUCUGUGAUCAAUUCAACCCAACGUCUUUGCCUAAGAUUCAGAUCCGGUUGGGUGAAGAUGUACUUCAGACUUUGGUGAUCAGUGAAUAUUUCGCAACGAUUACCGAGGAGGUAAUGUCGCCAGGUCUUAAGUGCAUAGACUACGGCUGCAAGUUCUAGAUCAUGAGUAGGAUAAUUCUCCUCAUGUGGGUGUAAUUGCCGUGAAGCGUAAGCAAUUACGUGUCGAUCUUGCAUGAGAAUGCAACCUAGCCCUUGUCGUGAGGCGUCGCAGUAGAUAACAAAGUCCUUGGAGAAGUCUGGCGGUACCAGUACAGGAGCAGAGGUCAGGCGUCUUUUCAGUUCCUGAAAGCUGUGCUCACAUUGUGGAGUCCAUUCGAACCUUUUAUCUUUCUUGAGGAGUUCGGUUAGAGGUUUAGCAACUUUGGAGAAGUUCUCGACAAAGCGACGGCAAUAGCUCGCUAAGCCCAGAAAACUCCGAACUUGCUUGACCGAUUCGGGUGGAGUCCAGUUAAGGACGGCUUGAACUCGCUCAGGGUUAACAGCAAUACCUUUACCAGAUAUUACAUGACCCAGAUAGGUCACUUCUGACAACCAGAAUUCACAUUUCGAAAAUUUGGCAUAAAGGCGAUGCUCUCGAAGUUUCUUCAACACUAGCCUUAGAUGUUCGGCAUGUUCUUCCUCGUUCUUGGAGUAGAUGAGUAUAUCAUCGAGAUAAACUACGACGAAUUUAUCCAAAUACUCCAUGAAGAUUGAGUUCAUUAACCGAGAAAAGGUGGCUGGAGCGUUGGUUAAACCGAAGGACAUGACGGUGUACUCGUGUUGGCCAUAGCGAGUAACAAAGGCCGUUUUAGGAAUGUCCCCGUUUCUGAUUUUGAUUUGAUGGUAGCCCAACCUCAAAUCCAUCUUGGAGAAGACUGAGGAUCCAGCGAGCUGAUCAUAUAGAUCGUUGAUCCUGGGAAGCGGGUAUUUGUUCUUGAUUGUGACCAAGUUGACCGGCCGGUAAUCUACAACCAUUCGGUCCGUACCAUCCUUUUUCUUAACGAAUAGGACGGGGCAAGCCCACGGAGAUGAACUAGGGCGGAUGAAACCCUUUUUCAAGGAUUCAUCGAGUUGUUUCUUAAGCUCGGCUAGUUCUAGGGGUGCCAUCUUAUAGGGUCUUCUAGCAAUCGGAACGGUUCCGGGGAUGAGGUCUAUUACGAACUCAACAUCCCUGUCAGGUGGAACACCUGGCAAUUCCUCUGGAAAGACAUCCGGAAAGUCACGGACUACCGGAACGUCCUCAAGGUCUGGCAAAGGGCUGGCGUUAAGAGAAUAUAGUUGUCGCUUGGCUAUUCGGGUCAAGACGUUGACUAUCUUUCCCGAAGGGUGGGUGAGUUGAACAGUCCUAGAGAAGCAAUCAAUUUUGGCUUGAUGAGCUGACAUCCAGUCCAUACCCAAAAUGAUAUUAAUAUCUGAAGAUUUAAGGGCUAUCAAAGAUGCGAGAAAAACAAGUCUGUCGACUUGGAUUUCAUUUCCAUGGCUUACUCUAGAAGUUUGCCAUUUGGAUCCCGGAGUUUGAAUUACNNNNNNNNNNNNNNNNNNNNNNNNNNNNNNNNNNNNNNNNNNNNNNNNNNNNNNNNNNNNNNNNNNNNNNNNNNNNNNNNNNNNNNNNNNNNNNNNNNNNCCUGGGUCACGAAGAGGCCAGGACCCCGAUUCCCAAAGCUACUCAAUGAAUUCUCAGUUGGAUUUCUUUGGUUACUUGCAUCAUAUAAAUUGUCCCAAGGGCCAAAACCAAUGGAGGCAAAGCCGGGCGCGACUAUGUCUCAAUUCAGCGAGUCCUGGAUUCAGACUCGCUGAAGGGUGAGCGAGCUGGGCCGGCCCACUAGUGCGGGAAGCCACAACCUCUUUCUUCUGUUUUUUAUGUUUUAUGCUUUAUGUUUUCCCUUUUUGUUUAUACUUUAAAAUUUUAUAUUACAAAAAAACUCUUCAAAAAACAUAUGAAAUAUGUUGAACAAGUAUUUGAAAAAUAUUGAACAACUAUUUGAAAAACAUUGAUCAUGUAUAUAAAAGUAUUGAACAAGUAUUUGAAAAAUGUAGAACAAGUAUUUGAACAAGUAUUUAAAAAAUAUUGAUCAUGUAUAUAAAAAUGUUUAACAAGUAUAUGAAUUUUUUUGAACAAAUAUUUAAAAAAUGUUGAGAAAGUAUUUGUAAAAUUGUUGAACAAGUAUUCUAAAAAAUGUUGAUCAUAUAUAUAUAAAUGUUGAGCAUUUAUUUAAGAAAUGUUGAAUAAGUAUUUAAAAAAAUGUUAAACAAGUAUUUUAAAAAACGUUGAUCAUUUAUAUAUAAAUGUUGAACAUGUAUUUGAAAAAUGUUGAACAAGAAUUUAAAAAAUAUUGAUCAUGUAUAUAAGAAUGUAGAAUGAAAAACAAAAAGAAUGAAAACAAAAAAUAAACAAAAUAAACCAAAGGAAAAGAAAAUGAAAAAGUGAAUAAACAAAUAAAAACCCGGAGAAGAAAUAAAAACAAAAGAACAUGAAAAAAUGGAGAAAACCCGGCUCCUUUUAUCUAUAAGUAGGGCGUGCCCUAGCUUUUAUCACGAACAAUGUGCUAACCUGGUGGAUAGCUUCGCUACUCCUCAUCGAGGAGACCCAGGUUCAUAUCAUGGGUCGAUCCCUCUGCUCGCUCCCUUCCUUUGUCCCGUAGUAGGAAGCCAGGAACGCAAGAGUAGCAGCCUGCAGCCUGGCCUUCCAUCCUGGUAAAAAUAUCCUAUAAGACCGGGUCAUAUCGUUUCAAUCGGAAGAACCACUCAACUGAGCGCCACUUGGCUGCGCGCAUCUUGACGCAACAAGGUAACUUCUUACCCGAUUCCCUUUGCCAAAUCUCGAUUCUCACCUUGCUGAGCCAAGUUCGUUCCCAACGGCAAAGUCAUCGCGAGAAGAUGGCAGCGACCAACCAGUAAACUCCAUUGGCGUACGUCUGGCCUAACUAGAUUGAUUUUCUUAGACUGCACCGGUACCGAGACAAGUGAGAGGGCUCACGACGACGGCAAGCAGUGGAGUUACGCCGACGGUGAGUAUUGGAGUUACGCCGGCGGCGAGCAGCGGACUUGCUUGGCGCGAGGAGCCUGCCCUCAGCCGGCGGGGCGUAGCAGUGUGAUUGUGCCGACGUCAAAGAGUUUUGCCGCUACCAAUGGAACAAGUAGCCUGGACGCACAACGUGAGCAGAGGAAAAUCACGCCGGCGGCGAGAAGUUUGGCUCCGUCGAGAGUGGCGGAGCUAGCACCAACGGUAGGUCUGGGAUGAUAUGGGACUGGCCACCACGUUCGGUUUCAUCGCAAGGCACUGGGGAAGAAGGUACGCCCGCAAAGUCUUUACUCCCAGCAAGUUUCAGAUCUCUGGGAGAUUACUCCGUAUAUUAUAUAUAAAGCGUUAUUAUGGAAAAGGCCGGCUGGUUUCAGAUUUGGUUUGCAGGGGCUCCAAUGAGCUUUUUUAAUAAAUUUUUGUGGGUUUUUUUCUGAAAGUUUUCUGAACACUUAGUAUAAGAUUUGUAAUUUUUUUCUCAUCUUCUCUCUCUUUCAUGACAUUUAUUGCAUCUGCUUAGGAGUACGCAUAUAGCUAGACUCUUGUAUGAGAGCUCACUCCCAUUAAUUUUUUAGUCUGUUCUUUACAUAGACAAAACUGCGAUGUAAACUGGGUAUAAGUCUGCUAUUGUACUUGCUUAAAAAAACACAUUCACAUGCAUGUCCCUCAAAACAAAAUACAACUUCCNNNNNNNNNNNNNNNNNNNNNNNNNNNNNNNNNNNNNNNNNNNNNNNNNNNNNNNNNNNNNNNNNNNNNNNNNNNNNNNNNNNNNNNNNNNNNNNNNNNNUUAAAGAAAAAUACCAAUUGAACUCCAAAUUAAAUAAAACAAAUUUUCCCCGACUCCUAAAAAUGAGUCGAACAAAAUGAACUUUAAAAAUGGCAAACAUGCAUAAAUUUUUAAAAUGCUCAUUUUUUUUUUGCCUAAGCAAAAUAAAUCUUCCAAAACCAAAUCUUGAUUUAUUUAUAAUAUCUUCAUUUUUCCUAAAUAUUGGGAAAGUCAUAUUAUUCCCUCUCUUAAAAUUUUUUUUAUAGGAAAAAUUUUAUGAAGAUAAUUAAAUAAAUCCAAAUGAUCCUAUUUUCAAAAUUUGAGAAAUCCCAAAUAUGAAAAUAAUGAAACUUCCAACUCUCUCCGAGGGUCCUUGAGUUGCGUGAAAUUUUCUAGGAUCGGAAAAUGCGAGAAAAAUAUGAUAUGCAUGAUGAUCUAAUGUAAUACAUUCCAAAUUGAAAAUUUGGGAUGUUACAGCACACUCAAAACGGAGCAACUGUUCAACACAUACUCCAUACAAGUUUAAAGGACAAGCUGUCCAAAACAGCAACUAGGCAUAUUGCAAGCAUCAAAACAAUAUGCUACAGCAUCUCAACAUGAAAACAAAAGAUAUGGGCAUGAUGUACAGGUAAAGCAUAACAAAACAUGAACACUGAUCUAUCUCCAGAAAUCACUAGAACAUGCUCAAACCCACAUGGCAAGAUUGCAAAUAAUAACAGUUCAGACUUUGCAGAAAAUAAUAUCAGGUUGCAAUGUUUAGAGCUAUCAAACAACAUGUUGUAGGGACUUAUCAUGGCAAACAAAGGCAUUGCAUGGUACUACUAAAUGCAUAGAACAAAAGUCCCUUACUGACCAUGAGCCAAAAAGGAUCAGAAGAAAUGAUGGCACCCAUGUAAACAUGGCAAGUUAUAAUACAGAUUCAUACAUGGCAGGAACAGAAUUAUGAAGGCAUGUUGAUGAGCUUGUACCACUCACCACAGAGCAAUACAUGGCAUGGAAAGGCAACCAACAGUAAGAAGACAUGUUUGUGAAGCUAAGCAAGUCAAGAACAAGUUCAUAGCAUGCAAGGAUCAACUACAACAACCUUGGCAAAAUUGAAUAACAUGUAAACAAUCUGCCAGGAAACAUUUUGUAGAAAAAGUAGAGCACGAAAAUGACAUUCUAGACUACUCCAUAAUUGCAAACAGGGGCAUGAAUGGAUAGAUCAUAACCAUAUUUUCAAAACACCCUUACUGAAGUAUCUCAAAAUAUGCAUGGAUCUCUCUGUAGCAUCAUGUUUACAUGGCAUCAAAAUAACAGCAGAACAGGGACUAAAAUCAGCAACAUUACGAAGCCUAGUUUGCAUGCUUGUGCUAGUCACCACAUUGAUCACAAAAAUACAUGGCAUACACCUCUAUAAAGAAGACAUGGCAUAGAUCAAAACACAUGUACACAUCAACCUCAUAGGAUGCACACAUCAAUCAUGGCAAAAAUGACAAAAGAACUAGUUCUGUUAAUAGACAGUAGACAACAUUAUGAAGCACUCUUCAAACGAUGAUUCAGGCAUCAAGAUGAGCUCAAAUGAACAUGAUGUAAUGGAAUGAAAUGAUGUACUCGUUGAUACGAACAAUUUGACAUAUUACACGCACAAAACGGAGCAGUAUGCAUGAAGAUAUGAUGCGAUGAACAUGGCAUGAUAAUGUCAAAAUAUUUUGGGACUUGGUCAUUUUUCAGGAAAAAACGGAGUGGGCGCAGAUUAGCUAAAAAUCGCACGGGCAGGGUUUACUGGGCUCUCACCAUGGGCCAAGCCCAGAAGGAAGGAGAGGCCGGCCGGCUUGGAGGUGGGCUGGGCCGGAAGAGGCCGUGGCCCACGCGGGCGACUGGGGGCGUCGUCCUCCCGACGCGGGACGAGGCCGGCGGCGCGGGACGACGACGUUCAAACUCCGGUGAACGGAGCGACGGAGCGGCGAGGACUCAGGGAAAUGGGCGGAUCCGGAGGUGGGGGUUCCAGAUCCGAGCUCGACGGCGACCUGCGGAGCUCCACAGAGCGGCAUCGGCGAGUUCCUUCGGCGGCGGGGGCUGCUGUCCAGGAGAGAGAGAGAGAGAGAGAGAGAGAGAGAGAGNNNNNNNNNNNNNNNNNNNNNNNNNNNNNNNNNNNNNNNNNNNNNNNNNNNNNNNNNNNNNNNNNNNNNNNNNNNNNNNNNNNNNNNNNNNNNNNNNNNNAAGACGCUGGACGGCGCCAAGAAACGGGAGGUGGACUUGAAGAAGGAUAUCAAGGCCAACGAGGCGCUGCUGGCGAGGGCCGCUGAAACUCAGAAUCUCCUCAGAGAUACUGUGGAGCUCUGGACGGAGGGCCUCGUGAACAUUGCUGCAGUCAUCGAAGAGGAGCUGGUGCAACUGGGGGUGGAGGGCUUCGGGUACUCCCCCGACGAGAACCUCCAACCUAGCGUCAAGCUCACUCUGUUCUUCGAAGGCGUGGCGACGGCCCUCCAGCAACUCCGGGAAAGGAUCCCAAAGCAGCUGGCCGACGAGUCGCGCACGAUCUGUGCUGGAGUUCUGGAGAAGGUGCUGGUGAAGGUGGCCUUCCGCAAUCCAGGCCUCAACCUCACCAACGUCCUCAAGAGGCUGCCAGCGGACGCUGAUCUUGACUCACUCAAGGCCCUUGUCGCACCCAUUGUGGAUAGGGUGAACGAGGUCAAAAGGGUUGAUGGCGGUCGCGUUGAUUAGGCCGCUCGUUUUCUUCUUUGCUUGCCGCUGCUAGUCAUGUCAUGAAAACACUUUAUUAGAGCCGCGACAAGUUAUCUUUGUAAUAUAACUCUAUCUUAGGUAAUGAUUGCUAUGUUACUUCCUUUACUUGACUCUUGGCUUUGUAUGUUUCUGCCCUACGCUUUUUAGGGAAACUUGCCGGGGCAGGCACCCUUGCCGCGAGCGCUGAGUGCGGGACUUCAGCAGACUGCUGGCGGUGUCGCUACCGACAAGUAACCUUGCCGCAACUAGUCGCGGCUCACUUAAGUUGUUGAGCGGACUCGAAACAAAGUAAGGGCGCAACUAGCUGUGAGUUGGUUCCUUCGCGCAUAGGUUUUCCAUACAAAGCACGGUCGUUCAAGGAAAAUAACUUAAAAUUUAAAAACUGAUUGCUCAAACUUUGGCAACUUAGCUUUUCUGCCGUUUGCUUCCCGUCAAGGCGAAACUUUCUUGAACGGUCCGGUCCACACCAUUAUCCUCCAGGGUGGAUUAGAUCAGAUGCAAGACAAGAAUAGCAAGUUGAAGAACUACAAGAACAACAAGGGAAUCUUACUCUUCUUCUUCCUCCUCGUCGGAGCUGAGCGCGGAGAGGUCGAAGUUCGGCCCACCUCCGGCGCGACGAGGUGGAGGGGUGGGAUCCCUUGGCCGCUUGGCGGGGACUGCGGCGUUAGCCCGAGAUGACCCCGCUCCAGUUGCCACCGCGGCGGGAGGCGCUCCCCCGGCAACCGUGCUUGCUGCGGCGGAGCACGUCGCGCGGCGCUGCGGCUGUUGGCCCACUUGCCGCCCUGCUGCGUCCCCGGUCCUGCGGAGGCGCCUUCUUGGCUGCGCUGGGGGCUGCGCUACGGGCCCUGCUUGCGUCAAGCUGCUCGGAGAUGGCGGACCGCUCGCACCCUCGGCGGGCUCGCUCGACUCGGCGUCAGGCGCGGUGAGCCCUUCUUCGUCUUUAGGCCACUCCCAUUCGGCAAGGCUCGUCGCCAAUGCUGCGUCUGCUUCCUCCACUGUGAACCCGAACUCACCCGUGGCUGCGGCUGCCGCCGCCUCUUCCGCCCUGGUGGCGAUGCGUUCCAUCUCUUGAUCGGUGGUGUCGCGGGUGAGGAGCUUCUUUUCGUCAGCAUUGACCGCCACUUCCACUAGGCCGUCAAAGAACUGCUGCACGACAUCGUCGGUAGGUUCCUGCCAAGUUGGAAUGAUCCCGUGCGAAUCGCACAACGGCAUCAUCGCGCAGAUGCGGUCGCGCGAGGAGUUGUUGCACAGAGGAACGACGCCUGCCGGCAACCUGAACCACUCGGGAUGCUGUGGGUCGUGCUUGAAUAUCUCCUUGAGUAUCCCAUCCAACUCUAGGACGGUGAAAUUGAAAUUGAGGCCCGGGCGCAGCCUCAUGAUAUCUGCCGGGCCUCCAAAUUCCCAGGUGAAUCUCCCCCUCGCCUGCAGAGGGGCGAUGCGGCGGCGAAGGAAAUCUGCGCCGACAGCGCCUACAGGCAGCCCGGCAAGCCUGAGACGCAAGAUCCGGGUGGUGGCGAUCUUCAGCUUGUCGUCGUCCACGGACAGGGCGCUCCAAUNNNNNNNNNNNNNNNNNNNNNNNNNNNNNNNNNNNNNNNNNNNNNNNNNNNNNNNNNNNNNNNNNNNNNNNNNNNNNNNNNNNNNNNNNNNNNNNNNNNNAAGACGCUGGACGGCGCCAAGAAACGGGAGGUGGACUUGAAGAAGGAUAUCAAGGCCAACGAGGCGCUGCUGGCGAGGGCCGCUGAAACUCAGAAUCUCCUCAGAGAUACUGUGGAGCUCUGGACGGAGGGCCUCGUGAACAUUGCUGCAGUCAUCGAAGAGGAGCUGGUGCAACUGGGGGUGGAGGGCUUCGGGUACUCCCCCGACGAGAACCUCCAACCUAGCGUCAAGCUCACUCUGUUCUUCGAAGGCGUGGCGACGGCCCUCCAGCAACUCCGGGAAAGGAUCCCAAAGCAGCUGGCCGACGAGUCGCGCACGAUCUGUGCUGGAGUUCUGGAGAAGGUGCUGGUGAAGGUGGCCUUCCGCAAUCCAGGCCUCAACCUCACCAACGUCCUCAAGAGGCUGCCAGCGGACGCUGAUCUUGACUCACUCAAGGCCCUUGUCGCACCCAUUGUGGAUAGGGUGAACGAGGUCAAAAGGGUUGAUGGCGGUCGCGUUGAUUAGGCCGCUCGUUUUCUUCUUUGCUUGCCGCUGCUAGUCAUGUCAUGAAAACACUUUAUUAGAGCCGCGACAAGUUAUCUUUGUAAUAUAACUCUAUCUUAGGUAAUGAUUGCUAUGUUACUUCCUUUACUUGACUCUUGGCUUUGUAUGUUUCUGCCCUACGCUUUUUAGGGAAACUUGCCGGGGCAGGCACCCUUGCCGCGAGCGCUGAGUGCGGGACUUCAGCAGACUGCUGGCGGUGUCGCUACCGACAAGUAACCUUGCCGCAACUAGUCGCGGCUCACUUAAGUUGUUGAGCGGACUCGAAACAAAGUAAGGGCGCAACUAGCUGUGAGUUGGUUCCUUCGCGCAUAGGUUUUCCAUACAAAGCACGGUCGUUCAAGGAAAAUAACUUAAAAUUUAAAAACUGAUUGCUCAAACUUUGGCAACUUAGCUUUUCUGUCGUUUGCUUCCCGUCAAGGCGAAACUUUCUUGAACGGUCCGGUCCACACCAUUAUCGUCCAGGGUGGAUUAGAUCAGAUGCAAGACAAGAAUAGCAAGUUGAAGAACUACAAGAACAACAAGGGAAUCUUACUCUUCUUCUUCCUCCUCGUCGGAGCUGAGCGCGGAGAGGUCGAAGUUCGGCCCACCUCCGGCGCGACGAGGUGGAGGGGUGGGAUCCCUUGGCCGCUUGGCGGGGACUGCGGCGUUAGCCCGAGAUGACCCCGCUCCAGUUGCCACCGCGGCGGGAGGCGCUCCCCCGGCAACCGUGCUUGCUGCGGCGGAGCACGUCGCGCGGCGCUGCGGCUGUUGGCCCACUUGCCACCCUGCUGCGUCCCCGGUCCUGCGGAGGCGCCUUCUUGGCUGCGCUGGGGGCUGCGCUACGGGCCCUGCUUGCGUCAAGCUGCUCGGAGAUGGCGGACCGCUCGCACCCUCGGCGGGCUCGCUCGACUCGGCGUCAGGCGCGGUGAGCCCUUCUUCGUCUUUAGGCCACUCCCAUUCGGCAAGGCUCGUCGCCAAUGCUGCGUCUGCUUCCUCCACUGUGAACCCGAACUCACCCGUGGCUGCGGCUGCCGCCGCCUCUUCCGCCCUGGUGGCGAUGCGUUCCAUCUCUUGAUCGGUGGUGUCGCGGGUGAGGAGCUUCUUUUCGUCAGCAUUGACCGCCACUUCCACUAGGCCGUCAAAGAACUGCUGCACGACAUCGUCGGUAGGUUCCUGCCAAGUUGGAAUGAUCCCGUGCGAAUCGCACAACGGCAUCAUCGCGCAGAUGCGGUCGCGCGAGGAGUUGUUGCACAGAGGAACGACGCCUGCCGGCAACCUGAACCACUCGGGAUGCUGUGGGUCGUGCUUGAAUAUCUCCUUGAGUAUCCCAUCCAACUCUAGGACGGUGAAAUUGAAAUUGAGGCCCGGGCGCAGCCUCAUGAUAUCUGCCGGGCCUCCAAAUUCCCAGGUGAAUCUCCCCCUCGCCUGCAGAGGGGCGAUGCGGCGGCGAAGGAAAUCUGCGCCGACAGCGCCUACAGGCAGCCCGGCAAGCCUGAGACGCAAGAUCCGGGUGGUGGCGAUCUUCAGCUUGUCGUCGUCCACGGACAGGGCGCUCCAAUNNNNNNNNNNNNNNNNNNNNNNNNNNNNNNNNNNNNNNNNNNNNNNNNNNNNNNNNNNNNNNNNNNNNNNNNNNNNNNNNNNNNNNNNNNNNNNNNNNNNUAAAAAUAUGAUAGCCAGAAUUUUUUUCGAAAAAUGCGUUUUCGAAAAUUUUUGGGCCUAAACGGAGCGUGGCCACCAUAUAUCCACCACGAAUCCGAGUUCCUUGCUUAUUAGGUUUGUUUUCGGAAUCCAUCUAGAUUCCGAUUCGUGUUUCCUUGCCGGAGUAGGAACACGCUGUGCUCGUCCAUACUGAUUCGGAAGGGGGCGUAGUUGUUGUUGUUGCAGAGGUGCGACAGGUGCAGCUGGUGGUGGAAGACGCGCAAGCAGUUCAUUAAAUCUGUUAUCGAGCUUUGUUUCGAACGUCUUCUCAAGGCCAGUGAUCUUCUCCAUGGCCUCUUCAAAAUUGUUCAGCACAUCUUGUACCUGUUCAGUCAUGAUUUGCUGAAACUUAUCAUGAAGCUCCUUGUUCGAUAAGUUCUCUCAGUCAAUCUCGUCGGCUUGUGAUCCUGGCAUGGUUAGCAGCAAUAGAAACACAUAAGAAUAUGAUCCUACAGACUACUAAGAAGUGGUGGUGGUGUAUCACAAAUCCGUCAAGCAAAUCUCAAAUUCUUACCAGUUCUUACCCAGCAGCAGGUGGUGAUCGGCAACCGUUGUAGUCAAAAACUCUCAAAGCUUGGAUAGAGCGAUUACCAGGGAGAGUCAAACACACGACGUAGAUGUAUGUGGAGCUGGGAAGGCUUAUAGUAUGGUAGCAAAAAGGGUCAGCAAUAAUCAAUUCAGAGAUGCAAAGUUGAAUAAACGCUCAACGACGGUACUGUGCUGGUCCUAGGCUAGACUGUGCUAGAGACGCGAGCCUAGAACACCAACAAAAUCAUGGCGCGGCACGUAAACAAGGGAAAAGCACACUCUGAAUUUCUUUUUCGCUCUUUUUUUGCGCUCUUUUUUUUUGCGCUGCUUUUUUUUUGCGAAAAAUCACUAUAAUGGCGAGUGUCUCAAAACUCUUCCUAGCUCAAACGGACAGGAUGGGCACGAAAUUUUUUCGACCAAUUUUUUUUUUCGACUGCCCGGACCCAAAAACUGGAAACGGGUCAAAAAAAACUUCCUAUAAUGGCACCUGUCUCAAAACACUCAGAAACACCUAAAAAUAGGAUAGCCAGAAAUUUCUUCGAAAAAUGCGUUUUCGAAUUUUUUUUUUCCGAAACCUACUCCGGCAAGGAAACACGAAUCGGAAUCUAGAUGGAUUCCGAAAACAAACCUAAUAAGCAAGGAACUCGGAUUGGUGGUGGAUAUAUGGUGGCCACGCUCCGUUUAGGCCCAAAAAUUUUCGAAAACGCAUUUUUCNNNNNNNNNNGAGUCGGGUAGCCACGCUCCGUUUAGGCCCAAAAUUUUUCGAAAACGCAUUUUUCGAAAAAAUUUCUGGCUAUCCUAUUUUUAGGUGUUUCUGAGUGUUUUGAGACAGGUGCCAUUAUAGGAAGUUUUUUUUGACCCGUUUCCAGUUUUUGGGUCCGGGCAGUCAAAAAAAAAAAUUGGUCGAAAAAAUUUCGUGCCCAUCCUGUCAGUUUGAGCUAAGAAGAGUUUUGAGACACUCGCCAUUAUAGUGAUUUUUUUCGCAAAAAAAAAAAGCAGCGCAAAAAAAAAGAGAGAGCGCAAAAAAAAAAGAGCGAAAAAAAAAAUUCCAGAGUGUGCUUUUCCCUUGUUUAUGUGCCGCGCCGUGAUUUUGUUAGUGUUCUAGGCUCGCGUCUCUAGCACAGUCUAGCCUAGGACCAGCACAGUACCGUCGUUGAGCGUUUAUUCAACUUUGCAUCUCUGAAUUGAUUAUUGCUGACCCUUUUUGCUACCAUAUUAUAAGCCUUCCCAGCUCCACAUACAUCUACGUCGUGCGUUUGACUCUCCCUGGUAAUCGCUCUAUCCAAGCUUUGAGAGUUUUUGACUACAACGGUUGCCGAUCACCGCCUGCUGCUGGGUAAGAACUGGUAAGAAUUUGAGAUUUGCUUGACGGAUUUGUGACACCCACCACCACCACUUGUUCGUAGUCUGUAGGAUCAUAUUCUUGUGUGUUUCUAUUGCUGCUAACCAUGCCAGGAUCACAAGCCGACGAGAUUGACUGGGAGAAUUUAUCGAACAAGGAGCUUCAUGAUAAGNNNNNNNNNNNNNNNNNNNNNNNNNNNNNNNNNNNNNNNNNNNNNNNNNNNNNNNNNNNNNNNNNNNNNNNNNNNNNNNNNNNNNNNNNNNNNNNNNNNNUCACCUCCAUAAACGAGAAACAUAUCCUUAGUCCUCUUCAGGUACUUCAGGAUAUUCUUGACCGUUGUCAAGUGUUCCAUGCCGGGAUUACUUUGGUACCUUCCUACCAAACUUACGGCAAGGUUUACAUCAGGUCUGGUACACAGCAUGGCAUACAUAAUAGACCCUAUGGCCGAGGCAUAGGGGAUGACACUCAUCUUUUCUCUAUCUUCUGUCGUGGUCGGGCAUUGAGCCGUGCUCAAUUGCACACCUUGCAAUACAGGCAAGAACCCCUUCUUGGACUGAUCCAUAUUGAACUUCUUCAAUAUCUUGUCAAGGUACGUACUCUGUGAAAGCCCAAUGAAGCGUCUUGAUCUAUCUCUAUAGAUCUUGAUGCCUAAUAUAUAAGCAGCUUCUCCAAGGUCCUUCAUUGAAAAACACUUAUUCAAAUAGGCCUUUAUACUUUCCAAGAAUUCUAUAUCAUUUCCCAUCAAUAGUAUGUCAUCCACAUAUAAUAAGAGAAAUGCUAAAGAGCUCCCACUCACUUUCUUGUAAACACAGGCUUCUCCAUAAGUCUGUGUAAACCCAAACGCUUUGAUCAUCUCAUCAAAAUGAAUGUUCCAACUCCGAGAUGCUUGCACCAGCCCAUAGAUGGAGCGCUGGAGCUUGCAUACCUUGUUAGCAUUCUUAGGAUCGACAAAACCUUCCGGCUGCAUCAUAUACAAUUCUUCCUUAAGAAAGCCGUUAAGGAAUGCCGUUUUGACGUCCAUUUGCCAUAUCUCAUAAUCAUAGAAUGCGGUAAUUGCUAACAUGAUUCGGACGGACUUCAGCUUCGCUACGGGUGAGAAAGUCUCAUCGUAGUCAACCCCUUGAACUUGUCGAUAACCCUUAGCGACAAGUCGAGCCUUAUAGAUGGUCACAUUACCAUCCGCGUCUGUCUUCUUCUUAAAGAUCCAUUUAUUUUCUAUGGCUCGCCGAUCAUCGGGCAAGUCAGUCAAAGUCCAUACUUCGUUUUCAUACAUGGAUCCUAUCUUGGAUUUCAUGGCUUCCAGCCAUUUGUCGGAAUCCGGGCCCGCCAUCGCUUCUUCAUAGUUCGAAGGUUCACCAUUGUCUAACAACAUGAUUUCCAGGACAGGGUUGCCGUACCACUCUGGUGCGGAGCGUGUCCUUGUGGACCUACGAAGUUCAGUAGUAACUUGAUCCGUAGCUUCAUGAUCAUCAUCAUUAACUUCCUCCCAGUCGGUGUAGGCACCACAGGAACAUCUUCCCGCGCUGCGCUACUCUCCGGUUCGGAACGGGUGACUAUCACCUCAUCAAGUUCCACUUUCCUCCCACUCACUUCUUUCGAGAGAAACUCUUUCUCCAGAAAGGACCCGUUCUUGGCAACAAAGAUCUUGCCUUCGGAUCUGAGGUAGAAGGUAUACCCAAUGGUUUCCUUAGGGUAUCCUAUGAAGACGCAUUUUUCCGACUUGGGUUCGAGCUUUUCAGGUUGAAGUUUCUUGACAUAAGCAUCGCAUCCCCAAACUUUUAGAAACGACAGCUUAGGUUUCUUCCCAAACCAUAAUUCAUACGGUGUUGUCUCAACGGAUUUCGACGGAGCCCUAUUUAAAGUGAAUGCGACAGUCUCUAAAGCAUAGCCCCAAAAUGAGAGCGGUAGAUCGGUAAGAGACAUCAUAGAUCGCACCAUAUCCAAUAGAGUGCGAUUACGACGUUCGGACACACCGUUUCGCUGAGGUGUUCCAGGCGGCGUGAGUUGUGAAACGAUUCCACAUUUCCUUAAGUGCGUACCAAAUUCGUGGCUUAAAUAUUCUCCACCAUGAUCUGAUCGUAAGAACUUUAUUUUCUUGUCACGUUGAUUCUCAACCUCACUCUGAAAUUCCUUGAACUUUUCAAAGGUUUCAGACUUGUGUUUCAUUAGGUAGACAUACCCAUAUCUACUUAAGUCAUCAGUGAGAGUGAGAACAUAACGAUAUCCUCCGCGAGCCUCAACACUCAUUGGACCGCACACAUCAGUAUGUAUGAUUUCCAAUAAGUUGGUUGCUCGCUCCAUUGUUCCGGAGAACGGAGUCUUGGUCAUCUUACCCAUGAGGCAUGGUUCGCACNNNNNNNNNNNNNNNNNNNNNNNNNNNNNNNNNNNNNNNNNNNNNNNNNNNNNNNNNNNNNNNNNNNNNNNNNNNNNNNNNNNNNNNNNNNNNNNNNNNNUAUACGUAUCCGGUUUGCUACUCAGAGUCAUUCGGAUAGGUGUUAAAGCUUGCAUCGACGUAACCCUUUACGCCGAACUCUUUAUCACCUCCAUAAUCGAGAAACAUGUCCUUAUUUACUCCAAGGACAAUUUUGACCGCUGUCCAAUGAUCCAUUCCCGGAUCAUUCUUGUACCCCUUGACUGACUCAUGGCAAGGCACACUUCCGGUGCGGUACACAGCAUAGCAUACUAUAGAGCCUACGUCUGAAGCAUAGGGGACGACCUUCGUCCUUUCUCUCUCUUCUGCCGGGGUCGAGCUUUAACUCUUAACUUCAUACCUUACAACUCAGGCAAGAACUCCUUCUUUGACUAAUCCAUCUUGAACACCUUCAAGAUCAUGUCAAGGUAUGUGCUCAUUUGAAAGUACCAUUAAGCGUUUUUGAUCUAUCCUCAUAGAUCUUGAUGCUCAAUGUUCAAGUAGCUUAAUCCAGGUUUUCUAUUGAAAAACACUUUUCAAAUAACCCUAUAUGCUUUUCAGAAAUUCUACAUCAUUUCUGAUCAACAAUAUGUCAACAACAUAUACUCAUCAGAAAUUCUAUAGUGCUCCCACUCACUUCUUUGGAAGUACAAGUUUCUCAUAAACUUUGUAUAAACCCAAAAUCUUUGAUCAUCUCAUCAAAGCGUACAUUCCAACUCCAAGAUGCUUACUCCAGUCCUUAGAAGGAUCGCUGGAGCCAGCAUACCUUUUAGCAUCCUUAGGAUCGACAAAAACUUUCUGAUUAUAUCACAUACAACCUUUCCUUACGAAAACUGGUAAGGAAACUCAUUUUUGACAUCCAUCUGCCAGUUUUCAUAAAUGCAGCUAAUGCUAGCAUGAUUCCGACGGACUUUAAGCAUCGCUACGGAUGAGAAAAUCUCAUCGUAGUCAACUCCUUGAACUUGUGAAAAACUCUUCGCCACAAGUCGAGCCUCAUAGAUGGUGACAUUACCAUCCACGUCUGUCUUCUUCUUAAAGAUCCAUUUAUCUCAAUGGCUUGCCUGAUCAUCGGGCAAGUCCACCAAAGUCCAUGCUUUGUUCUGAUACAUGGAUCCUAUCUCGGAUUUCCUGGCUUCUAACCAUUUGUUGGAAUUCGGGCCCACCAUCGCUUCUCCAUAGCUGGUAGGUUCAUUGUUGUCUAGCAACAUGACCUUCAAGACAGGAUUACUGUACCACUCUGAAGCAGUACGCAUCCUUGUCACCCUACGAGGUACGGUAGUGCCUUGAUCCGAAGUUUCAUGAUCACUAUCAUAAGCUUCUACUUCAAUUGGUGUAGGUGCCACAAGAACAACUUCCAGUGCCCUUCUACACACUAGUUGUAGUGAUGGUUCAGUAACCAUAUCAAGUCUCCACCAUCCUCCCACUCAACUUUUCGAGACAAACUUUUCCUCGAGAAAGGACCUGGUUCAAGAAACAAUCCCUAUUGCUUUCAGAUCUGAAUUAGGAGGUAUACCCAACCAUUUUGGGUAUCCUAUGAAGAUGCAUUUAUCCGUUUUGGGUUCGAGCUUAUCACGAUGAAACUUUUUCACAUAAGCGUCGCAGCCCCAAACUUUCAAGAAACGACAGCUUAGGUUUCUCUAAACCAUAGUUCUCGCGGUGUCAUCUCAACGGAAUUACGUGGUGCCCUAUUAAAGUGAGUGCGGUUGUAUCUAAUGCCUAACCCAUGAACGAUAGUGGUAAUUCGAUAAGAGACAUCAUGGUACGCACCAUAUCCAAUAGGGUGCAACUAUGAUGUUCGGACACACCAUCAUGCUAUGGUGUUCCAGGCGGUAUUAAUUGUGAAACAAUUUCCACAAUGUCUUAAUUGCGUGCCAAAGCUCGUAACUCAGAUACUCAUCUCUAUGAUCAUAUCAUAGACAUUUUAUCAUCUUGUCACAAUGAUCUUCAACUUCACUCUGAAAUUACUUGAACCAUUCAAUAAUUCAGACUUGUGUUUCAUCAAGUAAAUAUACUCAAUAUCUACUCGAAUCAUCUGUGAAGUAAGAACAUAACGAUAUUCACUACAUGCCUCAGCACUCAUUGGACUGCACACAUCAAAAUGUGUUACUUCCAACAAGUUGCUAUNNNNNNNNNNNNNNNNNNNNNNNNNNNNNNNNNNNNNNNNNNNNNNNNNNNNNNNNNNNNNNNNNNNNNNNNNNNNNNNNNNNNNNNNNNNNNNNNNNNNACAAAUCAGGUCGGGUUGCCAAGUGGUUAUAAAUAGCCCACCCCUACAACCAUAAACGGUUGGCUGCUCAGAUUCAGAGUACGGCUUUUGUCGUUUGAGAGCAACCCACCUCGAAGCCUUUGAGAGAGAAUUCCUUGCGAGGAUAAAGCCCUAACCACCCAGAGCCAAAGAGAAUUAGGCAUCACUUAAGUCUUCUUGUCUGUGUGAUCUAAAGACUCAUUACACUUGAGGACUGUGCAUCCUCCAGCCGGUUAGGCGUCGCGUUCUGAGCAUCCAAGAGACAUUGUGGAUUGCCGGUGAACAAAGUCUGUGAAGGUUUGGGAGUCUACCUUGAAGACUUACCAGAGUGAUUGGGCGAGGUCUGUGUGACCUUAGCUCAAGGGGAAUACGGUGAGGACUGGGUGUCCUGAGUUGCGUGUUCAGGACUGGGUGUCCGGGACUGUGUGUCCUAAGGUUUAAAUACCUAGCCGCCCUAACCAGACAUACAGUUGUCACAGCAACUGGAACUGGUCCAACAAAUCAUUGUCUUCAAUGAGUCACUGGUUUCAUCUUCCCUUCCCUUUACUUACUGUUACUCCUUGUGAAGUCAUUGUAUGAUUGCACUAUCUUUUAUCUUCACUGAGUGACUGCGUUUUCUGUUUGGCUUCAUAAUAUCUUCCUACCUGAUCCUUACUACAUUGCUGCUAUUAGUCAUUGUGCUUUCACUCCAUUUAAUACUUGACUAUGGCUUGCCUAGUGUAGUCUACCUUCCACUGCAGGGUAAUAGGUUUAUUUCUAUCGUUUGUCUUCAUAACUUCCAUGUUUUGAAGACUUUCAUAAAAAUCGCCUAUUCACCCCCCUCUAGUCGAUAUAACCCACUUUCAGUAGGAGCCAACAUGGGUAUCCAUAUCCCGCUGUUGGUUAUUGGCCGGAGAGUUGUCUCGGUCAUGUAUGCAUGGUUCCCGAACCCGUAGGGUCUACACACUUAAGGUUCGGUGACGCUAGGGUUGUAGAGAUAUUAGUAUGCGGUAACCCGAAAGUUGUUCGGAGUCCCGGAUGAGAUCCGGACGUCACGAGGAGUUCCGGAAUGGCCCGGAGGUAAAGAUUUAUAUAUAGGAAGUCCAGUUUCGGCCACCAGGAAAGUUUCUGGGGUCAUCGGUAUUGUACCGGCACCACCGGAAGGGUCCCGGGGGUCCACCGGGUGGGGCCACCUAUCUCGGAGGGCCCCAUGGGCUGAAGUGGGAAGGGAACCAACCCAUGGUGGGCUGGUGCGCCCCCCUUGGGCCUCCUCCUGCGCCUAGGGUUGGAAACCCUGGGGGUGGGGGCGCCCCACCAAACUUGGGGGGCAAGUCCCCCCCCCCUUGGCCGCCGCCCCUCCUUAGAUGGGAUCUACAAGGGGGCCGGCGCCCUCCUUGGCCCCUAUAUAUAGUGGAGGGGUGGGAGGGCAGCCGCACCCCAAGUCCCUGGCGCCUCCCUCCCUCCCGUGACACCUCUUCCUCCCCGCUUGCGCUUGGCGAAGCCCUGCCGGGAUCCCGCUACUUCCACCACCACACCGUCGUGCUGCUGGAUCUCCAUCAACCUCUCCUUCCCUUGCUAGAUCAAGAAGGAGGAGACGUCUCUCCCAAUCGUACGUGUGUUGAACGCGGAGGUGCCGUCCGUUCGGCGCUCGGUCAUCGGUGAUUUGGAUCACGACGAGUAUGACUCCAUCAACCCCGUUCUCUUGAACGCUUCCGCUUGCGAUCUACAAGGGUAUGUAGAUGCACUCCUCUCCCUCUCGUUGCUAGAUGUCUCCAUAGAUUGAUCUUGGUGAUGCGUAGAAAAUUUUAAAAUUCUGCUACGUUCCCCAACAGUGACUUCCUUCAAGUGGCGUCCAAAAGGUGUGUCUUCAUCCGGUUGUGCAAACUUGUUCUUCAUCUCCGUCAUCCUAAAGAUUAGAAAAUGGAGAGGAGUCAGAAAUGAGAAGAGAAUAGUGAUCUAUGAUCUUUGUGGUCGUGUCCUACACUCAGUGUGUGCUCUGAUACCAUCUUGUAGCAACCCGACCUCAAACGGUCAAGUCUCUGUGCUUCAGUGUCAUCCCUGGAUCGGUAAUGCUGACACACACANNNNNNNNNNNNNNNNNNNNNNNNNNNNNNNNNNNNNNNNNNNNNNNNNNNNNNNNNNNNNNNNNNNNNNNNNNNNNNNNNNNNNNNNNNNNNNNNNNNNAAAAUACUAGGACAUAUUUAAUGCACUAUUGACCAAAUGGUUGGGUGUGAGAAGCUUUGAUCCACCUCUCAUGAAAAGACAAAUUUCCAUCGAUUCAGCAAGAAGCCGGUCAAAUUUCAACUGUAGCUGCCUCAUAGUUUGCUCUUUAUUUUUUUCCAAAAAUCAUUUCUAGGUACAUAAGUAUCUAUUUAAUCAGAAAAACACCAAAAAAUUCCAAGAUUCAACCACUAGCUAGGAACGGUCAUUCCCGCCGUUUUGACCGCAUUUUGAAACGUGCAUAAAAAAUUCAAAAAAUCAAAAAAUUGGGAAACCUUCGCAUUGUGUCAUCAUAUGUGGCCAAGUUCCCUGGAAAAAUAACAAACUUCUAGUACGGCAAUUAUUUUAAAAAAGUGUUCUCAGAAACGAGCUAUCACGUGUGGAGAUGAAUGGCUUUCAAGCCAAAUGAUCAAUCUUAUGGCCACAUUCAUGGCAUAGUUUGUUCAAAUGAUCUCAUAUUGUGCACAAGGGUGCAUAUUGGAAUGGCAAACAAUGUUGCCUAAGGAAGUUUUCAUUUUCUUUGGACGAAAAAACCAUUUUCUAUUUUUCGAGUGCCCGGAAGGAGGUUUUUUUGUGAAGGACCUCACAAAUAAUUGUUGCAAAAUUGGACCAAAUCAUUUUUCUAAAAUACUAGGCCAUAUUUAAUGCACAAUUGACCAAAUGGUUGGGUGUAAAAAGUUUUGAUCCACCUCUCUUGAAAAAGACAAAUUUCCGCCGAUUCAGCGGGAAGCGGGUCAAAUUUGAACUAUAGCUGCCUCAUAGUUUGUUAUUUAUUUUUUACAAAAAUAAUUUCUAGGUACAUAAGUAUCUAUUGAAUCAGAGAAACACCAAAAAAUUCCAAGAUUCCACCACUAGCUAGGAACGGUCAUUCCCGCCGUUUUGACUGCAUUUUGAAACGGGCAUAACAAAUUCAAAAAAAAAUCAAAAAAUUGGGAAACCUUAGCAUUUGUGUCAUCAUAUGUGGCCAAGUUCCCAGGAAAAAUAACAAACUUGUAAUACGGCAAUUAUUUUCAAAAAAGUGUUCUCAGAAACGAGCUAUCACGUGUGGAGAUGAAUGGCUUUGAAGCCAAAUGAUCAAUCUUAUGGCCACAUUCAUGGCAUAGUUUGUUCAAAUGAUCUCAAAUUGUUCACAAGGGUGCAUAUUGGAAUGGCAAACAAUGUUCCCUAAGGAAGUUUUCAUUUUCUGUGGACGAAAAAUCCAUUUUCCAUUUUUCAAGUGUCCGAAAUAAGCUUUUUUGUGAAGGACCUACCAAAUAUUUGUUGCAAAAUUGUACCAAAUCAAUUUUCUAAAAUACUAGGACAUAUUUAAUGCACUAUUGACCAAAUGGUUUGGUGUGAGAAGCUUUGAUCCACCUCUCAUGAAAAGACAAAUUUCCAUCGAUUCAGCAAGAAGCCGGUCAAAUUUCAACUGUAGCUGCCUUGUAGUUUGCUCUUUAUUUUUUUCCAAAAAUCAUUUCUAGGUACAUAAGUAUCUAUUUAAUCAGAGAAACACCAAAAAAUUCCAAGAUUCAACCACUAGCUAGGAACGGUCAUUCCCGCCGUUUUGACCGCAUUUUGAAACGUGCAUAAAAAAUUCAAAAAAUCAAAAAAUUGGGAAACCUUCGCAUUGUGUCAUCAUAUGUGGCCAAGUUCCCUGGAAAAAUAACAAACUUGUAGUACGGCAAUUAUUUUAAAAAAGUGUUCUCAGAAACGAGCUAUCACGUGUGGAGAUGAAUGGCUUUCAAGCCAAAUGAUCAAUCUUAUGGCCACAUUCAUGGCAUAGUUUGUUCAAAUGAUCUCAUAUUGUGCACAAGGGUGCAUAUUGGAAUGGCAAACAAUGUUGCCUAAGGAAGUUUUCAUUUUCUUUGGACGAAAAAACCAUUUUCCAUUUUUCGAGUGCCCGAAAGGAGGUUUUUUUGUGAAGGACCUCCCAAAUAAUUGUUGCAAAAUUGGACCAAAUCAUUUUUCUAAAAUACUAGGCCAUAUUUAAUGCACAAUUGACCAAAUGGUUGGGUGUAAAAAGUUUUGAUCCACCUCUCUUGAAAAAGACAAAUUUCCGCCGAUUCNNNNNNNNNNNNNNNNNNNNNNNNNNNNNNNNNNNNNNNNNNNNNNNNNNNNNNNNNNNNNNNNNNNNNNNNNNNNNNNNNNNNNNNNNNNNNNNNNNNNGGGUCGCAGUGGAGAAAAAUUGUGAGAAAGUACUGGGAUGAGUUUGCAAAGGACCCAAGGAACGUAUGGUUUGCUUUAAGCGCGGAUGGCAUUAAUCCUUUUCGGGGAGCAGAGCAGCAAUCACAGCACCUGGCCGGUCACUCUAUGUAUGUAUAACCUUCCUCCUUGGAUGUGCAUGAAGCGGAAGUUCAUUAUGAUGCCUAUUCUCAUCCAAGGCCCUAAGCAACCCGGCAACGACAUUGAUGUGUACCUAAGGCCAUUAGUUGAAGAACUUUUACAGCUGUGGAAUGGAAAUGGUGUACGUACGUGGGAUGAGCACGGACAGGAGGAAUUUAACCUAAAGGCGUUGUUGUUCGUGACCAUCAACGAUUGGCCCGCUCUCAGUAACCUUUCAGGACAGACAAACAAAGGAUACCACGCAUGCACCCACUGUCUUGAUGACACUGAAAGUAUAUACCUGGACAAAUGCAGGAAGAAUGUGUACCUGGGCCAUCGUCGAUUUCUUCCGACCAACCAUCAAUGUCGAAAUAAAGGUAAGCAUUUCAAAGGCGAGGCAGAUCACCGGAAGAAGCCCGCCAUGCGUAUCGGUGGUCACGUACUUGCUAUGGUCAAUGAUUUACACGUAAUCUUUGGAAAAGGUGCUGGCGCACUAGCUGUUCCGAAUGACGCUGAGGGACACGCACCCAUGUGGAAGAAGAAAUCUAUAUUUUGGGACCUACCCUACUGGAAAGACUUAGAGGUCCGCUCUUCAAUCGACGUGAUGCACGUGACGAAGAACCUUUGCGUGAACCUGCUAGGCUUCUUGGGCGUGUAUGGAAAGACAAAAGAUACACCCGAGGCACCGGAGGAGCUCCAACGUUUGCACCAAAAAGACGGCAUGCCUCCGAAGCAGUAUGAAGGUCCUGCCAGCUACGCUCUUACGAAAGAUGAGAAAGAAAUCUUCUUUGAAUGCCUGCUCAGUAUGAAGGUCCCGACUGGCUUCUCGUCAAAUAUAAAGGGAAUAAUAAAUAUUCCAGAGAAAAAGUUCCAGAACCUAAAGUCUCAUGACUGCCACGUGAUUAUGACGCAACUGCUUCCGGUUGCAUUGAGGGGGCUUUUACCGGAAAACGUCCGAUUAGCCAUUGUGAAGCUAUGUGCAUUUCUCAAUGCAAUCUCUCAGAAGGUGAUCGAUCCAGAAAUGGUACCAACGCUAAGGAGUGAUGUGGCGCAAUGUCUUGUCAGUUUCGAGCUGGUGUUCCCACCAUCCUUCUUCAAUAUCAUGACGCAUGUCCUAGUUCAUCUAGUCGACGAGAUUGUCGUUCUGGGGCCCGUAUUUCUACACAAUAUGUUCCCCUUUGAGAGGUUCAUGGGAGUCCUAAAGGAAUAUGUCCGUAACCGCGCUAGGCCAGAAGGAAGCAUCUCCAUGGGCCAUCAAACAGAGGAUGUCAUCGGGUUUUGUGUUGACUUCAUUCCUGGCCUUAAGAAGAUAGGUCUCCCUAAAUCGCGGUAUGAGGGGAGACUUACUGGAAAAGGCACGCUAGGAGCGGACUCAAUAAUAUGCAGGGACGGGCAUUCUUGGUCUCAAGCGCACUACACAGUUCUACAGAACUCUACCUUGGUGACCCCGUAUGUCGAUGAACACAAGAACAGUCUGCGCUCCAAACACCCGGAGCAGUGCGACGACUGGAUUACAUGUGAACACAUCAGGACUUUCAGCAGUUGGUUGGAAGCACGUCUUAGAGGUGACAACACUGUUUGUGAUGAGUUGUACUUGUUGUCCAGGGGACCAUCUUUGACUAUAUUGAUUUACAAAGGAUACGAGAUAAAUGGGAAUACAUUUUACACGAUUGACCAAGAUCAGAAGAGCACCAACCAAAACAGCGGUGUCCGCUUUGAUGCAACAACCGAGAAGGGAAAGGACACAUAUUAUGGUUACAUAGUGGACAUAUGGGAACUUGACUACGGACAAGAUUUUAGGGUCCCUUUGUUUAAGUGCAAAUGGGUCAAUCUGUCAGGAGGCGGGGUACAUGUAGACCCACAGUACGGAAUGACAACAGUGGAUCUGAAAAAUCUUGGGUACACUGAUGAACCGUUCGUCCUAGNNNNNNNNNNNNNNNNNNNNNNNNNNNNNNNNNNNNNNNNNNNNNNNNNNNNNNNNNNNNNNNNNNNNNNNNNNNNNNNNNNNNNNNNNNNNNNNNNNNNAAUACUUUAGCUCCUUGCAGGCGGUCAAACAACUCAUUGAUCAUCGGCAGUGGGUACUUGUUUUUGAUGGUCACUUCAUUCAAUCCUCGGUAAUCAACAACCAUCCUCAGCGAUCCAUCUUUCUUCUCCACUAGAAGUACUGGUGAUCCCCAAGGUGACGAACUUGGGCGAAUAUAGCCUUUAUCCAGUAACUCCUUGAUCUGUUUCUUAAUUUCCUCCAAAUCCUUUGCGAGCAUCCUGUACGGUCUCUUAGAUAUUGGCCCUGUGCUUGGCAAAAGUUCAAUCAAGAACUCAAUGUCUCUAUCCGGUGGCAUGCCUGGCAACUCUUCUGGAAAUACAUCCGGAUAAUCCUUCACCACUGGUACUUCCUCCUGUACAACUCCUGAUAAGGAAUUCACUUGAGUCCUCUUCGGCAUAUGCCUGGAUACAUACUUUAUCCUUUUUCCUUCCGGGGUGGUAAGCAAAAUAGUCUUGUUGGCACAAUCGAUGUUUCCUCCAUACAACGAUAGCCAAUCCAUUCCCAAAAUCACAUCCAAACCUUGCGAUUCCAAAACAAUGAGGUCUGAGGGGAAAACAUGCCUACCAAUGGCCAACGGUAUCUUAAAAAAUCCUUGGGUGGCCAUAUACUCUGCUCCUGGCGAGGUUACUAACAUGGGGCUUUUGAGAACUUGGGUGGACAUCUUAAACUUGUUUACGAAUCCCCUUGAUAUGUAUGAAUGCGAUGCACCAGUAUCGAAAAGAACAGUUGCAGUAAAUGACUUAACCAAAAACUUACCUAUUACUGCAUCAGGCUGAGCUUCAACCUCCUCCACGCUCACGUGGUUCACAUGUCCUUUGUUGAACGGGUUCGGCUUCUUCCCAGAGCUUCCAUUGCCGUUUCCAUUUUGGGCUUCGGGACAAUCAGUAGCAUAAUGUCCCGUCUUCUGGCACUUGAAACAAGUAAUGUGACUUAGAUCUCUCUUGGUUGGGGUAGAUGGGUUGGUGCGGUUCUGUCCGUUUCCUCCUCCAUUCCCAUUACCAUUCUUGGAGCCAUUAUGGUUGUGCGAACUACCUCCUCCAUGGGUAUGCUGAAACUGUCCUCCCGGCUUCGGGGUAAAUCGUGGCUUCUGCUGGGCUCCAGAAUUAUACUUCCCUUGUCCAUACUUCCUCUUGCGGUUUUCAAUCUGCUGUUGCUUCCCUUCUAUCAUGAGAGCUCUAUCUACCAGCUCCUGGUAGUUGUUGAAAGUUGCUACCAUCAACUGCAUACUCAGCUCAUCAUUCAAUCCUUCCGGAAACUUCUCCUGCUUGGCAGCAUCCGUAGCAACGUCAUCUGGUGCAUAACGUGCUAACUUACUGAAAUCUUCCACAUAUUGGCCUACGGUGCGUCCUCCUUGGCGUAGGUUGCGAAACUCACGCUUCUUCAUAGCCAUAGCUCCUGCUGAAACAUGAGCUGUACGGAAAGCUUGCUGAAACUGGUCCCAUGUGACAGUGUCAAUAGGGUGCGUGGCUGUAUAAUUCUCCCACCAUGAUGCUGCGGGUCCAUCAAGCUGAUGUGCGGCAAAACGCACUCUUUCCGCAUCUGUGCAUCCUGCAGUGGUCAACUCCCUUCCAACUUUGCGGAGCCAAUCAUCUGCAAUAAUCGGCUCGGUGCUACUGGAAAACACCGGCGGGUUUAGCCUUAAGAAACGGGCUAAGUGAUCAACAGGUGGUGGUGGCGGUGGGUUGUUGUUGUUGUUGUUUCCUUGGUUCUGAACUAACACUUGCAUCAAGGCAUUCUGUUGCUGAAUCAACUGGGUGAUCUCUGGCGGGAAAACAAAUCCGGUGUCGCGUCUCGGAGGCAUCUGAUAGGUUUAGAAAAGAUGAGAAUUAAGAAUAGAAUGAGGUCUAGAGAGAAAACACUACCCAUAUGCUCAUGAGACAAAUUCAAUCAAUAUCACUCAAUCAAUCCAAACAAGGCAGAACAAUCGAUCUAACUAGCGUUACAAAGUGCUUGAGCUGUACUACUAAAUGGGGGAAAACUACUACUGAUAUGGUAGUCUACUAAAAAUUCCGAUCCGUUGAAGACUCCAUGAUGUCUGCUCCAGCUUCAUCAAUCCAUUCCUNNNNNNNNNNNNNNNNNNNNNNNNNNNNNNNNNNNNNNNNNNNNNNNNNNNNNNNNNNNNNNNNNNNNNNNNNNNNNNNNNNNNNNNNNNNNNNNNNNNNGCCAAGGACUCAGGUUCGGCUGCCCUCCCUCCCCUCCACUAUGUAUAGGGGCAAGGGAGAGGGGGGGCACAGCUUGGCCCUUCCUCCAAGGAAGGGUGCGGCCAAGGAGGAGUCCAUCCUCCCUAAGGCACCUAGGAGGUGCCUUCCCCUUUUAGGACUCUCCCUUUCCCUUAUCUCUUGGUGCAUGGGCCUCUUGGGGGGCGCACCAGCCCAUCUAGGGCUGGUCCCCUCCCACACUUGGCCCAUGUAGCCCUCCGAGGAUGGUGGCCCCACUUGGUGGACCCCCGGGACCCUCUCGGUGGUCCCGGUACAUUACCGAUAAAACCCGAAACUUUUCCGGUGAUCAAAACAGGACUUCCCAUAUAUAAUUCUUUACCUCCGGACCAUUCCGGAACUCCUUGUGACGUCCGGGAUCUCAUCUGGGACUUCGAACAACAUUCGGUAACCACAUACAAACUUCCUUUAUAACCCUAGCGUCAUCGAACCUUAAGUGUGUAGACCCUACGGGUUCGGGAACCAUGCAGACAUGACCGAGACGUUCUCCGGUCAAUAACCAACAGCGGGAUCUGGAUACCCAUGUUGGCUCCCACAUGUUCCACGAUGAUCUCAUCGGAUGAACCAUGAUGUCAAGGACUCAAUCGAUCCCGUAUACAAUUCCCGUUGUCUAGCGGUAUUAUACUUGCCCGAGAUUCGAUUGUCGGUAUGCCGAUACCUUGUUCAAUCUUGUAACCGGCAAGUCUCUUUACUCGUUCCGUAACACAUCAUCCCGUGAUCAGCCCCUUGGUCACAUUGUGCACAUUAUGAUGAUGUCCUACCGAGUGGGCCCAGAGAUACCUUUCCGUUUACACGGAGUGACAAAUCCCAGUCUCGAUUCGUGCCAACCCAACAGACACUUUCGGAGAUACCUGUAGUGCACCUUUAUAGCCACCCAGUUACGUUGUGACAUUUGGUACACCCAAAGCAUUCCUACGGUAUCUGGGAGUUGCACAAUCUCAUGGUCUAAGGAAAUGAUACUUGACAUUAGAAAAGCUUUAGCAUACGAACUAUGAUCUUUGUGCUAGGCUUAGGAUUGGGUCUUGUCCAUCACAUCAUUCUCCUAAUGAUGUGAUCCCGUUAUCAACGACAUCCAAUGUCCAUGGUCAGGAAACCGUAACCAUCUGUUGAUCAACGAGCUAGUCAACUAGAGGCUUACUAGGGACAUAGUGUUGUCUAUGUACCCACACAUGUAUCUGAGUUUCCUAUCAAUACAAUUAUAGCAUGGAUAAUAAACGAUUAUCAUGAACAAGGAAAUAUAAUAAUAAUAACCAACUUAUCAUUGCCUCUAGGGCAUAUUUCCAACAGUCUCCCACUUGCACUAGAGUCAAUAAUCUAGUUCACAUCGCCAUGUGAUUAACACUGAUAGGUCACAUCACCAUGUGACCAACAUCCAAAGAGUUUACUAGUGUCUAAACUAGUUCACAUCACCAUGUGAUUAAGUCUCAAUGAGUUCUGGGGUUUGAUCAUGUUUUGCUUGUGAGGGAGGUUUUAGUCAACGGGUCUGCAACAUUCAGAUCCGUAUGUACUUUGCAAUUCUCUAUGUCAUGAUGCUUCCACGCUCCAUUUGAAGCUAUUCCAAAUGGUUGCUCCACUAUACAUAUCCGGUUUGCUACUCAGAGUCAUUCGGAUAGGUGUUAAAGCUUGCAUCGACGUAACCCUUUACGCCGAACUCUUUAUCACCUCCAUAAUCGAGAAACAUGUCCUUUAUUUACUCCAAGGACAAUUUUGACCGCUGUCCAAUGAUCUAUUCCUGGAUCAUUCUUGUACCCCUUGACUGACUCAUGGCAAAGCACACUUCUGGUGCGGUACACAACAUAGCAUACUAUAGAGCCUACGUCUGAAGUAUAGGGGAUGACCUUCGUCCUUUCUCUCUCUUCUGCCGUGGUCGAGCUUUAACUCUUAACUUCAUACCUUACAACUCAGGCAAGAACUCCUUCUUUGACUGAUCCAUCUUGAACACCUUCAAGAUCAUGUCAAGGUAUGUGCUCAUUUGAAAGUAUUAUUAAACAUUUUGAUCUAUCUUAUAGAUCUUGAUGCUUAUUGUUNNNNNNNNNNNNNNNNNNNNNNNNNNNNNNNNNNNNNNNNNNNNNNNNNNNNNNNNNNNNNNNNNNNNNNNNNNNNNNNNNNNNNNNNNNNNNNNNNNNNUAAAAAUAUUGUCAAAUUGAAGUUAUUUCCGUUUUCACUUAGAGAUCGUGCUAAAGUUUGGUUUUCGUCUUUGCCUAAAAAUAGUAUUGAUUCUUGGAACAAGUGCAAAGAUGCUUUUAUCUCUAAGUAUUUUCCUCCCGCUAAGAUCAUCACUCUUAGGAACGAUAUCAUGAAUUUUAAACAACUUGAUCAUGAGCAUGUUUCCCAAUCUUGGGAAAGAAUGAAAUUGAUGCUUCACAAUUGCCCUACUCAUGGUUUGAAUUUAUGGAUGAUCAUACAAAAAUUUUAUGCCGGAUUGAAUUUUUCUUCUAGAAAUCUUUUAGAUUCGGCCACGGGAGGCACGUUUAUGGAAAUUAGGUUAGGAGAUGCUACAAAAUUGCUUGAUAAUAUUAUGGCUAAUUAUUCUCAAUGGCACACCGAAAGAUCUUCUAGUAAAAAAGUGCAUGCUAUAGAAGAAAUCAAUGUUUUGAGUGAAAAGAUGGAUGAACUUAUGAAGAUGUUUGCUCCUAAAAAUACUCCUCUUGAUCCCAAUGAUAUGCCUUUGUCUACUUUGCUUGAGAAUAAUAAUGAAUCUAUGGAUGUGAAUUUUGUUGGUAGGAAUAGUUUUGGAAACAAUGCGUAUAGAGGGAAUUUUAAUCCUAGGCCUUAUCCUAGUAAUCCUUCUAAUAAUUAUGGAAAUUCAUACAACAACUCUUAUGGAAAUUUUAAUAAGAUGCCCUCUGAAUUUGAGACUAGUGUUAAAGAGUUUAUGAAUUCACAAAAGAAUUUUAAUGCUUUGCUUGAACAGAAAUUGCUUAAAGUUGAUGAUUUGGCUAGGAAAGUUGAUAGAAUUUCUCUUGAAAUUGAUUCUUUAAAGCUUAGAUCUAUUCCUCCUAAGCAUGAUAUCAAUGAGUCUCUCAAAGCCAUGAGAAUUUCCAUUGAUGAGUGCAAGGAAAGAACCGCUAGGAUGCGUGCUUCCAAAGAUGCCUUUAUUAAAGCGUGUUCUUCCAAUUCCUAUGAAAAUCAAGAUGAAGAUCUAAAAGUUAUUGAUGUGUCCCCCAUUAAAUCUUUGUUUUGCUAUAUGAAUCUUGAUGAAACUGAAGAUUAUGUUCCCUUACCUAGAAGGCGUUUUAAGAAUUCGGAGUUUCUAGAUCUUGAUGAUGAAAUUGAUGAAAGUGGGAUUGAAAGAAAUAAAAACCUAGAUCUUGCUAAACCUACUAUUUUGGAUCUCAAGGAAUUUAAUUAUGAAAAUUUCUCUUUGAUUGGUUGUAUUUCCUUGUUGCAAUCCGUGCUAGAUUCUCCUCAUGCUUAUAGUCAAAAUAAGGCCUUUACCGAACACAUCGUUGAUGCCUUGAUGCAAUCUUAUGAAGAAAAACUUGAGUUGAAAGUUUCUAUCCCUAGAAAACUCUAUGAUGAGUGGGAACCUACUAUUAAAAUUAAAAUUAAAGAUUACGAGUUUCAUGCUUUGUGUGAUUUGGGUGCUAGUGUCUCUACUAUUCCCAAAACUUUAUGUGAUUUGCUAGAUUUCCGUGAUUUUGAUGAUUGCUCUCUAACCUUGCAUCUUGUGGAUUCCACUAUUAAAAAGCCUAUGGAAAGAAUUAAUGAUGUACUUAUUGUUGCAAAUAGGAAUUAUGUGCCCGUAGAUUUUAUCGUUCUUGAUAUAGAUCGCAAUCCUUCAUGUCCUAUUAUUCUUGGUAGAUCCUUCCUUAGAACGAUUGGUGCAAUUAUUGAUAUGAAGGAAGGGAAUAUUAGAUUCCAAUUUCCCUUGAAGAAGGGUAUGGAACACUUCCCUAGAAAUAAAAUAAAAUUACCAUAUGAAUCUAUCAUGAGAGCCACUUAUGGUACCAAAGAUGGCAAUACCUAGAUCUAUCCUUGCUUUUAUGCCUAGCUAGGGGCGUUAAACGAUAGCGCUUGUUGGGAGGCAACCCAAUUUUAUUUUGUGUUUUUUGUUUUUGCUUCUGUUUAGGAAUAAAUAAUCGAUCUAGCCUCUGUUUGGAUGUGGUUUAAUCUUUUAAUUAGUGUUUGUGCCAAGUAGAACCUGUAGGAUAACCUACGAUGAUAGUUGAUUUGAUUCUGCUGAAAAACAGAAACUUUGCACGCACNNNNNNNNNNNNNNNNNNNNNNNNNNNNNNNNNNNNNNNNNNNNNNNNNNNNNNNNNNNNNNNNNNNNNNNNNNNNNNNNNNNNNNNNNNNNNNNNNNNNGCAAGGAGAUCAGGUUCCUCAUGGAUGAACUUGAGGCCAUGCACGCAUUUCUCCUCAAAAUGUCAGAGGACGAGGAUCCUGAUGUGCAAGACAAAGUUUGGGCAAACGUGGUCAGGGAGCUCUCCUACGACAUGGAGGACACCAUCGACGACUUCAUGCAGAACGUCGAUGACAAAGACGCCAAGCCAGAUGGCUUCAUUGAGAAAAUCAAGCAUACACUAGGAAAGUUGGGCAAGAUGCAGGCUCGGCGACACAUCGGCAGCGAGAUCAAAGAUUUGAAGAAACAAAUCAUUGAGGUGAGCGAGAGGAAUGAAAGGUACAAGACACGUGGGAUCUUCUCCAACACCAGAAAUGCGUCUGUUGAUGCUAGAGCUCUUGCUAUCCUUGAGGAUGCCUCCAAGCUUGUGGGAAUUCAUGAACCUAUGGCUGAAAUAAUCAAGCUGUUGACUCAAGGUGCAUCAACAGAUGAGAAACCAAAGCUGGUCUCCAUCGUAGGAUCUGCAGAAAUGGGCAAGACAACUCUUGCAAACCAAGUGUAUCAAGAGUUCAAAGAGAAAUUCAAGUGUAAGGCUUUCAUAUCGGUGUCGCGAAAUCCAGACCUGAUGAAUAUCAUGAGAACUAUUCAUAGUCAAGUCAGUGGUCUACAUUUUGAUAACACCGAAGCAGGUAGCAUACAACAAGUCAUCAUGAAUAUCAACGGUCACCUAGCAGACAAAAGGUACGGUUUCUAUUGCAUGAACAUAUGUUUGGAAAUCUUACAAUGUCAAGUGAAAUCAAAUGGAGAGAGUACCAACUCUUGAUACAAGUAAUUUGUGCUCAUAUUUUCCAAUCUAUCAUUACAAAAUGUUUAAAGUGAAGUCCUUUCGAUGCCAAGUGAAAUCAAAUGCAGAGAGUACCAACAACCACCCAACGCGCUUAUGAAUAUCCGUUCGUGAUUUAUUAUUUUUCCUUUCUACUGAUAUAGCAUCUUUAACACAUAGGUACUCCAUCCAUUGGUUAUAUGACAUAACCUUCUGUCAGGAUUAGAUAUUUUAUGUAUGUGGAAAUUUUCACUUCCAUCCUAUAUAAUCAACUUGGCUCAUGUUUCUUCCUAAUUCUUCAGGUCUAUGAAUCUCCCUUGAUGCCCUAAACCAUUUUUUUUAGUGUGGUACCCCAUGACCAGUUUUGAGAUGUUCUUUCGAUAAUAGUUUGAUAUUGUAACAUCUACAACCCUUUCACACACUGGAUGCUACAUAUGUUACCAUAUUCUUCCUCCACCUUCUCCUUGUGUAACUGUCUUCCAUCUUCAGACCAGAUCCUCUGUGCAUCCAUCUGGAUGUGCUCCAGUUUCUCCCUUUCCGCUCUCAUCCGCCCACCCAAUGUUGUGAUGUGAUGUGCAGAGUCUAGUUGCCUUGAAUCCUGGAAGUUGCUGUCGACCUUGUGUGACUAUUUGCAUUUGCAUCAUAGCCAUCCAAACCAGAAAAAUAAGUUUAGGGGUUAAGUGGGUUCAGAAAUCAUAUAGAGGGGAAGUGAGGCAAACUAGUUUAGAGGGGAACUGGACUUUUUCUUUUUUUGAGAAACACACAACAUAAAGGUGCUUCACAGUCGAUGGAACGUCGUCUCUCAUUAAAAGAACAUUGCCGGAAAGUCUGGAAUAAAUCCAAGAAAUUGCUAGCACCCAUGCACAAGGACUUGAACCGCGGUGUGCUUGAUCCACCAUAAGGAAGCUAACAAUCGGAGACAUUCAGUUCACAAAUGGACCUUUUUCUUAUAUGAGUACUUUGUAGCUCUUCUUGAUUCUACAUAACCCUGCUGUUUGGAUCCACACCUAGCUAGAUUCUUUGUUCACUGCACAUGAUCACCUUAUUGAUGUCCUUUCUAUACUGGCUAAGCGCAUAAGACUAAUGUCUCAAUCCAUCCCUUGUUUGAACUACUACGUGCUUGUUAAUGAUAUUGAUCACUCUUGAUCCUUUUUUAAACCGUUGCUUAUCACCCAAUUCUAUAUCUGCCAAACUAAUUAUCAUGGAUCGAAGUGACACAUGAAUUAAAUUUGUAGCAUAUGAGAUUAUAAUGAAGGUUCAGAAAAGUGCUUUCGAAUUUUUNNNNNNNNNNNNNNNNNNNNNNNNNNNNNNNNNNNNNNNNNNNNNNNNNNNNNNNNNNNNNNNNNNNNNNNNNNNNNNNNNNNNNNNNNNNNNNNNNNNNGGCGACGAGGAGGGGAUCGCCGGGUAGGAUUAUGCUAUGCGAUGCUACUUGGAGGACUUCAAUCUACUCUCUUCUACAUGCUGCAAGAUGGAGAUGUCCAGAAGCGUAGUCUUCGACAGGACUAGCUAUCCCCCUUUUAUUCUGGCAUUCUGCAGUUCAGUCCACUGAUAUGGCCCUUUACACAUAUACCCAUGCAUAUGUAGUGUAGCUCCUUGCUUGCGAGUACUUUGGAUGAGUACUCACGGUUGCUUUUCUCCCUCUUUUCCCCUUUCUAUACCUGAUUGUCGCAACCAGAUGCUGGAGUCCAGGAGCUAGAGGUCCCGAGGAUGAUUCUACUUGGAGUUCGGCUUCGAGGAGUAGUUAGGAGGUCCCAGGCAGGAGGCCUGCGCCUCGUUCGAUCUGUAUCCCAGUUUGUGCUAGCCUUCUUAAGGCAAACUUGUUUAACUUAUGUCUGUACUCAGAUAUUGUUGCUUCCGCUGACUCGUCUAUGAUCGAGCACUUGUAUUCGAGCCCUCGAGGCCCCUGGCUUGUAUUAUGAUGCUUGUAUGACUUAUUUAUGUUUUAGAGUUGUGUUGUCAUAUCUUCCCGUGAGUCCCUGAUCUUGAUCAUACACAUUUGCGUGCAUGAUUAGUGUACGGUCAAAUCGGGGGCGUCACAAUAAGAAUACCCAAAACAGUUGGGUAUACCUCCUAUUUCAGAUCUGGAAGCAAAAGUAAUUGCUUCUAGAAACAGGUCCUUUCUCGAGGAAAAGUUUCUCUCGAAAGAAUUGAGUGGGAGGAUGGUGGAGACUUGAUGAGGUUAUUGGACCAUAACUUCAACUAGUGUGUAGCAGGGCACAGGAAGUUGUUCCUGUGGCACCUACACCAAUUGAAGUGGAAGCUUAUGAUAGUGAUCAUGAAACUUCGGAUCAAGUCACUACCAAACCUCGUAGGACGACGAGGAUGCGUAAUACUUCAGAGUAGUACGUGAUCCUGUCUUGGAAGUCAUGUUGUUGGACAAUGAUGAACCUAUGAGCUAUGGAGAAGCGAUGGUGGGCCCAUAUUCCGACAAAUGGUUAGAAGCCGUGAAAUCCGAGAUAGGAUCCAUGUAUGAGAACAAAGCAUGGACUUUGGUGAACUUGCCCGUUGAUCGGCAAGCCAUUGAGAUAAAUGGAUCUUUAAGAAGAAGACGGACAUGGACGGUAAUGUUACCGUCUAUGAAGCUCGACUUGUGGCAAAGAGUAUUUUCACAAGUUCAAGGAGUUGACUACGAUGAGAUUUUCUCAUCCGUAGCGAUGCUUAAGUCCGUCGGAAUCAUGUUAGCAUUAGCUGCAUUUAUGAAAUCUGGCAGAUGGAUGUCAAAACAAGUUUCCUUACCAGUUUUCGUAAGGAAAGUUUGUAUGUGAUACAAUCAGAAAGGUUUUGUCGAUCCUAAGGAUGCUAAAAGGUAUGCUAGCUCCAGCGAUCCUUCCAUGGACUAGAGCAAGCAUCUCGGAGUCAGAAUAUACGCUUUGAUGAAGUGAUCAAAGUUUUUGGGUUUAUACAAAGUUUGUUAGAAACUUGUAUUUACAAUAAAGUGAGUGGGAGCGCUACAACAUUUCUGAUAAGUAUAUGUGAAUGACAUAUUGUUGAUCCGAAAUGAUGUAAAAAUUUCUGGAAAGCAUAAAGGGUUGUUUGAAAGGAGUUUUUCAAAGGAAGACCUGGAUAAAGCUGCUUACAUAUUGGGCAUCAAGAUCUAUAGAGAUAGAUCAAGACGCCCGAUGAUACUUUCAAAGAACGCACACCUUGACAUGAUUUUGAAAGAGUUCAAAAUAGAUCAGCAAAGGAGUUCUUGGUUGUGUUACAAGGUGUGAGUAUUGAGUAAGACUCAAGACCUGACCACAGCAGAAGAGAGAGAAAGGACGAAGGUCGUCCCCUAUGCUUUAGACGUAGGCUCUACAGUAUGCUAUGCCGUGUACCGCACAUGAAGUGUGCCUUGCCAUGAGUUGGUCAAGGGGUACAAUAGUGAUCCGGGAGUGGAUCACAUGACAGCGGUCGAACUUAUCCUUAGUAUCUAGUGGACUAAGGAAUUUUCUCGAUUAUGGAGGUGAAAAGGAGUUCGUCNNNNNNNNNNNNNNNNNNNNNNNNNNNNNNNNNNNNNNNNNNNNNNNNNNNNNNNNNNNNNNNNNNNNNNNNNNNNNNNNNNNNNNNNNNNNNNNNNNNNUUGAAAUCCCUUUGUAACAGAUGAGUUUCCGUAUGAAACCCUGAUACUUCGAAAGAGAUUGUCCAUUUUGUACACGAAGUGCAUCUAAUUUUUGUCGUAACCCUCCCUACUUUCUUUCGCAUGCUAUGUGGAUGAAAUGAUGAUACCAUGCCAACUUUCAACCUUUUCAGAGUUCAUUUGAAAUGCAUUUCAAUUUCAUGGUCUUAUAGCUCAAAAUAAGCAGUAAAUGCAUGAAAAAUAACAAAUGAAGUCAGAAAGGGUUGAAAAUUGAUGAUGUGGCUUUGAAUGGUGCAUUUUGAACACAGAAAAAGUCUCGAGUUCAAAUAAGUCCAAAAAAUGAAAUCCCUUUGUAACCGACGAGUUUCCGUAUGAAACCGUGAUACUUCGAAAGAGACUGUCCGUUUUGUACACGCAGUGCAUCCAAUUUUUGCCGUAACCCUCUCUACUUUCUUGCACAUGCUAUGUGGGUGAAAUGAUAAUACCAUGCGACCUUUCAACCUUUUCAGAGUUCAUUUGAAAUGCUUUUAAAUUUCAGGGUCUUAUAGCUCAAAAUAAGCAGUAAAUGCAUGAAAAAUAACAAAUGAAGUCAGAAAGGGUUAAAAAUUGAUGAUGUGGCUUUGAAUGGUGCAUUUUGAACACACAAAAAGUCAGGAGUUCAAAUAAGUUUAAAAAAAUGAAAUCCCUUUGUAUCAGACGAGUUUCCGUAUGUAACACUGAUACUUCGAAAGAGAUUGUCCAUUUUGUACACGCAGUGCAUCCAAUUUUUGCCGUAACCCUCUCAACUUUCUUGCAUAUGCUAUGUGGAUGAAAUGAUGAUACCAUGCCAACUUUCAACCUUUUCAGAGUUCAUUUGAAAUGCUUUUCAAUUUUAGGGUCUUAUAGCUCAAAAUAAUAAGUAAAUGCAUGAAAAAUAACAAAUGAAGUCAGAAAGGGUUGAAAUUUGAUGAUGUGGCUUUGAAUAGUGCAUUUUGAACACACAAAAAGUCUGGAGUUCAAAUAAGUUCAAAAAUUGAAAUCCCUUUGUAACAGAUGAGUUUCCGUAUGAAACCCUGAUACUUCGAAAGAGAUUGUCCAUUUUGUACACGAAGUGCAUCUAAUUUUUGCCGUAACCCUCUCAACUUUCUUGCAUAUGCUAUGUGGAUGAAAUGAUGAUACGAUGCCANNNNNNNNNNNNNNNNNNNNNNNNNNNNNNNNNNNNNNNNNNNNNNNNNNNNNNNNNNNNNNNNNNNNNNNNNNNNNNNNNNGUCUUAUAGCUCAAAAUAAGCAGUAAAUGCAUGAAAAAUAACAAAUGAAGUCAGAAAGGGUUAAAAAUUGAUGAUGUGGCUUUGAAUGGUGCAUUUUGAACACACAAAAAGUCAGGAGUUCAAAUAUGUUUAAAAAAAUGAAAUCCCUUUGUAACAGACGAGUUUCCGUAUGUAACCCUGAUACUUCGAAAGAGAUUGUCCAUUUUGUACACGAAGUGCAUCCAAUUUUUGCCGUAACCCUCCCUACUUUCUUUCACAUGCUAUGUGGAUGAAAUGAUGAUACCAUGCCAACUUUCAACCUUUUCAGAGUUCAUUUGAAAUGCUUUUCAAUUCCAGGGUCUUAUAGCUCAAAAUAAGCAGUAAAUGCAUGAAAAAUAACAAAUGAAGUCAGAAAGGGUUGAAAAUUGAUGAUGUGGCUUUGAAUGGUGCAUUUUGAACACAGAAAAAGUCUGGAGUUCAAAUAAGUUCAAAAAAUGAAAUCCCUUUGUAACCGACGAGUUUCCGUAUGAAACCCUGAUACUUCGAAAGAGACUCUCCGUUUUGUACACGAAGUGCAUCCAAUUUUUGCCGUAACCCUCUCUACUUUCUUGCACAUGCUAUGUGGGUGAAAUGAUAAUACCAUGCGACCUUUCAACCUUUUCAGAGUUCAUUUGAAAUGCUUUUAAAUUUCAGGGUCUUAUAGCUCAAAAUAAGCAGUAAAUGCAUGAAAAAUAAUAAAUGAAGUCAGAAAGGGUUAAAAAUUGAUGAUGUGGCUUUGAAUGGUGCAUUUUGAACACACAAAAAGUCAGGAGUUCAAAUAAGUUUAAAAAAAUGAAAUCCCUUUGUCUCAGACGAGUANNNNNNNNNNNNNNNNNNNNNNNNNNNNNNNNNNNNNNNNNNNNNNNNNNNNNNNNNNNNNNNNNNNNNNNNNNNNNNNNNNNNNNNNNNNNNNNNNNNNAUCAAAAUAUUAUUAUAUAGAACUACCUACUUUAUUUUAGUAAGAAAUUAAUAGAACUAGUUUAUUUUUAGUAAAUGCUUAGUUGAAUUAAUAGAACUAGUUUAUUUAGUUGAAUUAAUAGAACUAGUAAGUGUUUAAUGUUUCACCUAUAUAUGAACAUAUGUUAGAUAUUAAUGUCAAAUGUUAGAUGAAUUAGAUAUAAAUUAUAUGUUAGAUAUAUAUUUAAUUUAGUUAUAUGAGAUUUCAUUAUCUAAUUAACAUUUUAUUAUAUAGAACUAGCUACCUUAUUUUUAGUAAGAAAAUUAAUAGAACUAGUUUAGUUGAAUUAAUUAGUUGAACUAGUUAGUUGAAUUAGUUCAAUUAAUUAGGUAUAUUCUUCGUAAGUGCUUAGUUGAAUUAGUUCAAUUAAUUAGCUGAACUAGUUGAAUUAACAGAAGAACUAAUAAGUGUUUAAUGUUUCACAUAUGAAUAUAGGAAUGUCGUCUGACGACGAACACGAUUUCAUUAUGUGUGAAUACUGCGAAGACCAGCGCGGCCUGUGCGGCAGAAAUUUUCUAGUUGAUGAUAGACGCUUCAGCAUCAAGCUGGAUGAGAACUUCGAAGUGGAUAUAGUAAGUCACAACGACAAGUCUUUUUUCGUAAUUAAGCAUGACUUAUGCUUCAUUUGCUUCAACUUUUAAUUUUAAUUUUUCACUAUUCUACUAGCGUAUCCCCUGCCAUGCAAGAAUUUUUGUUUUAAAUAAGAUAGGUUUCAGUCCUAACGAAACUAUGGAGGUAAAAAGAGUUUACUUGAAGACCGAGCAUGGUUAUACCUUCAACGUCAAAUUAUACAAUGCAGACACAUACACCUAUUUUGAAUGCAAAACUUGGCAAUCACUAUGCAAGGCUUAUGCAUUUGAGCCUGAUAUGGUGAUCACCUUUGAUAUUCGUCCGGAAGAUGAUAUUGAAGGUAAUAGAGACAUCUGGGUCGAUGUGCAGACGCCUCCAGUUCUACCAUUAUGUGAGUUUCUCAACCAUAUUUAUGUCUUCGAUAUGAGAUUAUUUGAACCAGUUGAAUAAUUAAUAGAUCUCAAUUUAUAUUGACAACUUACUUCCAAUCAAGCAAACAUGUCCGGCGCUUGGUAGACAGGACCGUCCACUGUCCCAGGGCUGAACUAAACUACGAGGAGACAAGUCAUUAUGUUUCAUGGCUUGAGGAUCUUGAUGCUGUCAAGACAAAUUUCUUUCCUGCACUUAGAAAUGUUAGUACUCAAAACGUGCGACCAAUAGUGUUCGUACUGAACUACAGUCACAUAUAUUUAGGAAAGAUGAUAAGAUUUCUACUAUUUCUCCUCAGUGCAUCUUUUGCAUACAUUUUUUUAAGCUAAACUUCAUUGCUAAGUAUGUUACUAUACGAUGUUCUUCAAUAGGGACUCCCGAUGAAUGUUGUGCCUGAGUGGAUCGAGACUAAAGGUACCAUGAAUAUUGUUAGCUUACGGCCAAUAUAUCCUACAAUGCACUUUAGUGCAUUCAGGAUUUCUAAUAGCGAGGAAUGCUUAAUAGUAAAAGACUGGAGCAAAAUUGUGAACGAUCACAGAGAAGUACUAGGGGGCAGCAAUCAGAAGCGCAACCCACGAUUAGGAGACAUGUUCAUCUGCAUGCUCCAAUAUGAUGAAUCAGCAAAGCUAUACAUGUUCUAUGCUAUUUUACCCGAGAGAGAGCAGCAGGAGUGAUUAAUUAGCUAGUUCAUGCUCUUAGUACUUGUCCUCUCAUGUCCGUGUUCUUCGUCCUGAACUUAAUCUCAAAGAGUGAUUUGCUUUUGUGGUGUUAUGAACGCUUAUAAUAUCAUUACCAUGUUGAACUCGAUGAUAUCUUUGCUAUGAAAACCGUUGGUGAUGAUAUAUAUGAUGCAAGAGUUUUUAUAUUAAUUAAUAUGAUGAUGAUGAUGAGUUAUUAUAUCAUUUAUGAAAGAAAUUGCAUAUUAGUUUCAACUGGAUGGAUUCUAGCUAAGUGAUCAAGUAUAUGCCAUAUCCAUAUUACCUCGAUCACUUAAGUAGGUGAUCAAGUAUAUAUAAUAUGGAUAUGACAUAUACUUGAUGACUNNNNNNNNNNNNNNNNNNNNNNNNNNNNNNNNNNNNNNNNNNNNNNNNNNNNNNNNNNNNNNNNNNNNNNNNNNNNNNNNNNNNNNNNNNNNNNNNNNNNUGUGGAUGUGAGAUGUAAAAUAUUUCUGCCUGGCCAGGCUUGUGUGGUGCUGAAGCGUUUGGUUCAUGCCUGGGCCAGGCAAAGCAUCAACGUCCCAUCAAUCAAUCCAUGCAGCAAUUAUUUAAUGCUAAUAUCCAUCCAUGUUGCUAUUAGCCUUAUGGCCGCACGACCAGGCAUGGCCAGGCGUUCGAAAUCGGUCGCCUGGGCUAGGCUACUUCCAGUGUCUAGAGUCCAGCCAGGCUAAUUAAAGUGCAAGGGAAUCCAGGCCAGGCGGGCUUUUUUUCACAGGGUAGCAACCAAACAAGUGUGCAUGAAAUCCAGCCACAACCCCAGGCCAGGCAAAACAUGCUCAGGACGCAAGCCAAACUGACCUUAUAUCUCCCUGGUUCACACAUACACAUGUCUCGCCUGCGCUAUACAUAUAGACCCAUCCAACACUCUCCGCCCUUGUUCUGUCUCCAUGUGACACGCACCCCUCCUAAGUUUGAUUAUCUCUUACUAGCCAUCAGGAACACACGUAUUGUCUCCUUCCAUCCAUACGUCUAUCUCGAUAUCUAUCGGGGCAUCUUCUAUCGUGCACACACCUUGUCACUCGAUCUCCCACCCAUGUAGUCCCAUCACGAUCUCCAGGGGAUCUCUCUAUGACAAACAUACACUCUCUCCUCCCCAUGUCUGCAUUUUCUCUGUACGUCUCUCCCGACCUCUCUCCCUUUUUUUAGACCCCUCUUGGCCACGUGCUAGGGUUCUUGCUCUCUCGGUCCCAAACAACCACACACUAUCUCCUCACCUUGCCUCCGUUGUCGAAGAUGCAUGUGUGAUAUGUUUGCAUAAGACAUGCACACUUUUUCUCUACUUUUAUCGUGUGUUGUCCAUGUCUCUUUCACACACGCACACCCACUUUUUUCACUCACUCUUUCUAUUUCUCUCUCUCUCUAGUUAGGGACUCUGUCAUGUCCAUAAGCAUAUGGAUGUUUUGAAAAGUUAAACCUCAGAAAAGUUUGACCAGGUAUAUGUGGAGAAAAACAUUUACAUCUGGAACGAUCAUUAGAUUCAUCACAACAUGUACUUACUUCAUACUAUCAUUUAUCUUUGGUAUUGUAGAUAUAAGUAAUUUCUUUAUAAACAUUGUCAAAGUUUCAAAAGUUUGACUUUAAAAAAAAUUGGAACUACAUUAUUGAACGAAGGGAGUAGCUCUCUCUCUCUCUCUCUCUCUCUCUCUCUCUCUGCUAUCUCUCACGGGCCUACCCUCUCACUUGAACUCUCUAUACCAACGGAUUAUAUGCUCACUGUGUCAGCGUAUAGCUCCGUAUAUUGUUUAGUUGACCAGUCAACCAGUCCACAUGCUGCCUUGUCAGCUCGUGUUCUGUAUCUUCGUGUGCUGGCCCAUGUGGCAGUGGGUGAAAAUAAGUAAACUAGGGGCCCAUCUGACAUGCAGUGAUGUAAACAAUGUUGAAACCACUCGGGGUAGCACCCCGCACUCUAGUAAAUUGAGGGCUCAUUGAGGACACACUUCUUGCGCAUGAAGGAUGCACUCGCGCACAAUUCAGCACUGCGUGGUGGCAUGCACAGAAGGACACACUCGCUCACACCCAGCACACAACACACACCAGCACAUGUUUACACCGGCGUCGCCGCCGGUUGAGAUGGACGGCGAGGCAGCCAACAAGUGGAGGUGGCUCGAGCCAAAACCGCAUUCGGCGAGCCUGGACUUCAUCAGCAACCUCCCCGAUGACAUGCUGCUCAUCAUCAUCGGCCUCAUCCCCACCAAAUCUACCGUGCGGACCGCCCUGCUCUCCUUGUGGUGGCGCCCCCUCUAGAGCCGCGUCCCCCUCAACCUCACCAUCGACAGCUGCCUCUGCAACGGGGAUUGCAAACGCAUGGCCGCAGUCUCCAAGAUCCUUUCAUCGCACCCUGGGCCAACCAGAUGCCUUGACAUACGCAUGUUCAGUACCAACUGCAAGGUCCAAACCAAGUUCGACGAGUGGUUCUUAUCCCCCGCACUAGAUCAGCUCGAGGACCUCAGCUUUGAAGCUGGACGAUGUCGCUCUCUGCUGCCGUCCGCGCUCCGCCUCACGCCAACANNNNNNNNNNNNNNNNNNNNNNNNNNNNNNNNNNNNNNNNNNNNNNNNNNNNNNNNNNNNNNNNNNNNNNNNNNNNNNNNNNNNNNNNNNNNNNNNNNNNUAUAGGCAUCAUGUCCAAGAUUAGUAGACCGACUCCUGCCUGCAUCUACUACUAGUACUCCACACAUCGACCGCUAUCCAGCAUGCAUCUAGUGCAUUAAGUUCAUGGAGAAACAGAGUAAUGCAAUAAAAACGAUGACAUGAUGUAGACAAGAUCUAUUUAUGUAGAAAUAGACCCCAUCUUGUUGUCCUUAAUAGCAAUGAUACAUACGUGUCGGUUCCCCUUCUGUCACUGGGAUCAAGCACCGUAAGAUCGAACCCAUCACAAAGCACCUCUUCCCAUGGCAAGAAAAAUCGAUCUAGUCGGCCUAACUAAACCAAAGAUUCGAAGAAGAAAUAUGAGGCUAUAAGUAAUCAUACAUAUAAGAGAUCAAAAGACUCAAAUAACUUUCAUGGAUAAAAACAUAGAUCUGAUCAUAAACUCAAAGUUCAUCGGAUCCCAACAAACACACCGCGAAAAGAGUUACAUCAAAUAGAUCUCCAAGAGACCAUUAUAUUGAGAAUCAAAAGAGAGAGAGAGGAGAGAGAGAGAGAGUGGGAGAGAGAGAGAGAGAUAGAUAGAUAGAUAGAGAGAGAGAAAGCCAUCUAUCUACUAACUACGGAUCCGUGGGUCUACAAUGAACUACUCACGCGUCAUCAGAGAGGCACCAAUGAGGAUGAUGAAACCCUCUAUGAUGGUGUCUAGAUUGGAUCUGUGGUUUAUGGAACUUGCGGCGGCUGGAAUUGAUUUUUGUCGACUCCCCUAGGGUUUCUAGAAUAUUAGGGUAUUUAUAGAGCAAAGAGGCGGUGCAGGAGGCCACUAAGGUGGGCACAACACACCUGGGCGCGCCUGGGCCCCCAGGCACGCCCUGGUGGGUUGUGCUCCCCUUGGAUCUCCCCUCAGGUACUUUCUUGGCCCAACAGGUGUCUUCUGGUCUAGAAAAAAUCACCAAAAAGUUUCCCUGCGUUUGGACUCCGUUUGGUAUUGAUCUUCUGCGAAGUAAAAAACAAGCAAAAAACAGCAAGUGGCACUGGGCACUAUGUCAAUAGGUUAGUCCCAAAAAAUGAUAUAAAGUUGCUAUAAAAUGAUUGUAAAACAUCCAAGAUUGAUAAUAUAACAGCAUGGAACAAUAAAAAAUUAUAGAUAUGUUGGAGACGUAUCAAAACUCUCUCAAAGUGAGGCAAAGAAUAACUCCAAAGUCUCUAUUCUUAUUGGAGAAAGUAGGAUGAAAUCGCGUAGGUAGUAAACCAUCUCAAAGUUGGGUUUCCAAUCAAUCUUAUGAACCACCCCAAAGUGUCACGAAUAGUUCUAGAGAUUGUACUCCGACAACACCAUAUGAUACUAAUCAAUCAACUCUAAUGUCACCUACAUACUCCAAUGUCACCACGAGUAUCUGCGAGUGAGACAUGCAUCAGAUCUCAAAUCCAAAGUAUUCAAUCCGAUAACAGAGAAACCUCAAAGAGCAAUAUUUAGUUCACCACAAAAGAGAUAGAGGGGAAGAACCCCAUAUGAUAUAUUAACAAACUUCAUGGUACAUAAACAUCUCCUAUAAAGAUCACGAGAGAGGGAGAGAGAGAGAGAGAGAGACCAAACACAUAGAUACUGGUACAUACCCUCAGCCCCGAGGGUGAACUACUCCCUCCUCGUCAUGGAGGCAACAAGGAUGAUGAAUAUGGCCUCUGUGAUGGAUUCCUCCUCCGGCGGAGCAGCGGGAAAGGCCUCCAAAUGAGAUCACUUUGGAACAGAGGCUUGCGGCGGCAGAGAAAAAGUUCUAGGUUACUUUUCGGACAUUUCUGGAUUUAUAGGAAUUUUUAGCAUUGGAUUCACGCUAGGGGGAGUCCCAAGGGUCCCACAACCUCAGGUGGCACGCCCGGGGGGCGUUCCCCUUGAGCUUGUGGGCCCCCUAGCACCUUCUGGUCCUUCCUCGAAGCUUCCUGGGUCCCUUCUUGUCCAUAAAAAAACACCGUAAAUUUUUAUCGCGUUUGGACUUCAUUUGGUAUGGUUUUUCUACGAAAUUAAGAAAAUGGUGCACAUAUUAUCUCACUAGUGAUAAUAUAGACUGAUCUAUGAGAAAUUGUACUAAAGUGUUUGAUUGACUAAGGNNNNNNNNNNNNNNNNNNNNNNNNNNNNNNNNNNNNNNNNNNNNNNNNNNNNNNNNNNNNNNNNNNNNNNNNNNNNNNNNNNNNNNNNNNNNNNNNNNNNUAGUAAUUAUGUUUCAAAAAAAAAUUCAAUUUUUUUUAUUUUUUAAACUAGUAAUGGCGCACCACAACUAGUAAUGGCGCACCCCUCCCACGGUGCGCCAUUAGUAAUUUGGCCCAAACAUCCCCCCAAAUGCACCCCCCGCUGGACCGCCUUUUCAGUUUGAAAAAAAAUAAAAGAAAAUGAUACGAAUGUCAAAAAAAUAAAAGAAAAUAAGAUUCCCAUGUGAUAUGUGGUCUAGUUGUUAGCAAAAUUUACAAACAUGAGUUUUCGACUUUUUUGCAAAAUCUCUCGAGAAUUUUUAAAAAUGGGCAUAACUUUUGCAUUCGAACUCGGAUGAAAAAGUUUUUUAUAUGAAAAAUCAUCUACUCGAAAAGUUACAUCCGAAUUUAUGCUGCCACUGAACCUUCAGGAAAUUGGCCUCUGCAACUAACACGUGCAAAUAUAUUAGCUACAUGCUACUACACACCGUCUCCGCAAGUAGUUGUAAUUUUCGGUCAGUUUUCACUUGUUUCCAUGUCUAUGGGACUCAAUACUUCGCCACAUGAACCGUACCAAUAAGGAGACACAUUUGACUGUUCCUCCCGAUAUGGCGCACACGUCCCUAGGAUGAAAAAGUCAUAAGUUUUUAAUUGCAAAAUACAAUCUUUUAGUGAAUUUCCCAAUAUGUGGAGAUAUCAACCUUAGGGGCCUGUUCGGUACUUCUCCAUGGCCUCAAAAUCCUGAACUCCACCACCAGCUUCCCAUCGCCAGCUUCUCAUGAGAGCGCCGCGAUCGAGCGAUCCAUUCGGCAGCACAGCUUCUUUCUCGCUAGCAUUGGCCUGGGCCAGCGGCCCAUAUGGGCCGGAUAUGGCCCGACUAGAGAGAAAAUCAGUAGGUGCUCGCUGUAUGUAUCGCACGUGAAAUAAGGCUCGAACCGGUACGUUCACUUGGCGGUGGCAUCAACAGGUAAUUUUGACCAAACUCCAACUCCUGAAGAACCUGGGAGCCCGGAAUGACCAGCUCCGUGACUCCACGAAAAAGGCACUGCGCUCCGCGCCGGCUUCUGUAACUGAACUCUAGGAAUUGACACGUUCGGUUGGACUCCACGCGCGGAUUCGAGGAUUUGAGAAGCCAGACCACUACCGAACACACCCUAGGUUUUACUAUCAAAGGACUACCAUGCCAUAUGAUUCCACACCAUCGGUCAAAUUACAAAUGACGGCAUGAGCACCAUACCAAAUGUAAAACUUUUCGCAGCCAAUGGUUGCCUUCAACAAGGAGGGUACCGGAUGUUAUAUCUACGUCAUAGGUAUUUUGCAAUUUGAGAAGGGGCUUGGUUCCUCAACACUAAUGGGGUACAUUGCUAUCCACAAUAUGCGAUCCGUACCAAUUGAUAAAUUUGUCGUUACGAUCCAUUGGUUUAACAUUUCUAUCGUCAUAGUAAAUUCUGAUUACAUGCAUGCAUCAUUUUGUAAAAAAAUUCCAUCUAUUAGUCGAUGGCAUGGCAACUGAGUGACGUAACUUGAUUACGGAGGCUUCAUAAGAACGAAUAUCACUCGCUUGUCCGUGUGCCUAAUAAAUUGGAAAGGAUAGAGUACGUCAUAAAUAAAAUGAGGGAUGGGCGUACUGAAACUAUACUCGUCUCAACUACUUAAUUAAUUGGAAAAUUUUGGUUUGUGUCAUUAUCGAAUUGAGACUUUCGAAGGCUGCCACUGAAACUUCAUUAAAUUGGCCUCUGCAACUAGCAGCUGGGAAGUUAUUCGCCACAUGCCGCUAGACACUUUCUUCCCAAGCAUCGGUCAUGUUGUCAUCAGCUUUCGGUUGUUCCUCGAUUCUCGAACCUACAACUUCGCCACAUCGACCGCACCAACGAGUGGUCAAAGACCCCACCAAAAAAAGAGAAAGAAAUAUAAUAAAAGAGAGAGAAGGAGAGAGAGGAGGCACACAAAUAUGCUUUAUAGAUACUUAUACUUCAAAGUAGCACCAUGUAUUUCAUAGAUAGAGUUUUUAUAUUAUCCAUUUCAUAUGCUACACUACUACAAAAACAGCUAUAGCCAAUAUGGACACUAAUGGCGCACUGUACAUGUGGUGCGCCAUUACUANNNNNNNNNNNNNNNNNNNNNNNNNNNNNNNNNNNNNNNNNNNNNNNNNNNNNNNNNNNNNNNNNNNNNNNNNNNNNNNNNNNNNNNNNNNNNNNNNNNNUAGAAAAAUUGGGUUAAUAAAAUAUUCAAGUUUGAAUCGUGACAUUGCUGAUUGAAAAAUUAUUCGUAAAUUUCCAAAAAUAUGAUUAUAUAAAAAUGUUCAAGAAUUCAAAAAAUUGUAUGUGAGAUUUUUUUUACAAAUUCUGAAAUACUCAUGAAUUCAGAAAGUGUUUCCGAAUUUAAAAAUAUUUGUGAAUUUAAAAAUAUUUGUGAAUUUAAAAAUAUUUGCAAAUUUGAGCAAUAUUUGUAGACUUGAAAACAUGAAUUGUAAAAAAUUAUGAACAAAAAGAAAAAUGGAAAAAGAAAAGAAAACUAAAAUAAACUGAAUAAGCAGUGAAAAUAGAAGAAAAAAUAUAAAAAUCCUUCAGGAAUAUUUUCAAACUGUGUGAAAGAUUCUAGAAGCCUCAUGAAACCGUCAUCCUUAAAAAAAACAGAAAAUACUGCUAGCAAUACCCAAUAAAACCCGCUAAGGAAAGUGUGUGUAGCCAGUGCUACUGGGGUGGCCCACGUUGAAGCGAUUGUGAGGGAUUCACUUGUAGAGGUCACUACAUGCAAUAUAUCUCAGUUGCCUCCAUGUACCCUAAACUUAAGAUUUUAUCACAAUUUCCAUUGUUGCCCAUUAACUCCACAUGCCAAGUUAACCAAUCCCUUUAUUUCUUGAAAAUCAAUGUUUGCUUCUUCUCGAUCUUAGGCUUUGUCCCUAACAUCCCGCGGUAAUUGUUAAACACCAUCGCUCACCAAUCAUAAACGUCACUGUAUACCAUCGCACACCAAUCAUAAACGCCACCGUGUACCGACAACAAUGUGUCCUCGCCCUUGUGGUCUCUACACAGAUCUGUGCACAACGUCGUCAACUUGCUUAUUAGACUUACGUUAUAAUAGUGGUAUUAACCAAAAAUUCGAAGGAGUGCAUGUCCUCACCUGAUCAUGGUAUCCUACACCGUACACGCCACCAAGAUCUGACACGCCAAACGCUCGUGGGACAUAGUACGCUGCUGUAAUGCAUUUAUUGGCCCAUCAAGCGUUGUAACGUCAUCAGGUUGCUAGAGAACUUCACGUCCAGCUCUGUCAUGUGGCCGCGGCCAAGUCAUAGCCUCAGGAGAGUGUAGCUAUGUACUUCCACGGUAUGGGAACACUUUUUCUACAAGAAUAUUCAUGUAUAAUAGAAAAAAAGGUCCUUAUACACAUGUUCAUAAUAUUAGUCGUGUAUUGGAAAAUUCAUCAAAUAUUUUAUUUUUUUAAACGAGGUUUCUUAGGGCUCGAUUCGUUAAAAAGUAGAAGAGAGUUGUCUGAUUAAUUAACGGAAACCCGGGUGAAAACCGUCACAACAAGCCAACAACAUGGCACCAUAAACACACGCCGACCCCGAGGCCACACACCAGGCGAACCGUUGACUUCGUCACUCUAGCAACCCUUAGCCGACACCCUAAAACAAAAACUAAAGCGGCUGCUCCGGCAUUCAAGCCGACCCGAGGCCGCGCACCAGGCGAGCCACCUACUCUGCCGCCCGGGAAACCGAAGCUGACACCCGACAACCAUCUCUGGAGUCCCCGCUCUGACGUACACAUGAAAACCCCACACACUGACCCCGAGGCCCCACACCAGGCGAGCCACCAGCUUCAUCACCCGAGCAACCGCAGUCGACACUCGAGGCUGCUCUGCUCGCCCACGCCAACUCUACCUAGGGGACUAGAGCCGCCUCACCAGACCCACGCACCCAGCCGCGCCACCCGGCCAGCAGAGCAACAGGAGAGCGUCCUCGCAAAAAAAAACCUCACGAAAAAAAGAGCCAUAGGAGAGCGCCCAGCCCGUUGCGUGUAUGCGCCUCCCAGCACACACACUCCCAUGCCGCACCGUCCACCAUUUGACCCCCAACCACGCUGCUCGCAGCUCAACCAAGGAACCGUUGCGGAUGCUGCAUGCAGUAGCUCAUCUUGCACGGCUCCCGCUUAGGUGAAGCCAUGCCGGAUCCAACCUAGGAUGACCAGAUCCGGCCGCCAUGCAUCUCCACCGUCCCUCAGCAGCGGGAUGUUCAUCGUGUACUUGAAAAUAUAUUCAUCAUAUAUUUUAAAAAUAUUCAUCNNNNNNNNNNNNNNNNNNNNNNNNNNNNNNNNNNNNNNNNNNNNNNNNNNNNNNNNNNNNNNNNNNNNNNNNNNNNNNNNNNNNNNNNNNNNNNNNNNNNGUAGACACUGCAUUACAACCACCAUGAGCAACGACACUGCCACCUUACUCGGACUCCUCGUUCACGUGCUCGACUUCGUCCUUGUCCCUCUUCCUCUUGGCCGAUACUUCUUUGCUAGAACCACACACUUGGAUCUUGCUCUUCAUCCAACCCUUGUAGAUACUGAAACAAAGGUAGGCAUCCAUCACAACGUAGUGGAUGUGGUCUAUAUCUAGUACAUUCCACUGCCAUGCAUGACAAUGAAACUUGGGUGGAGGUUUCUUCAGUUUAUCGUAUGAAGGAUGAACCAUGGCUCCUGCUAGGGUCAGCAUUGAAGGCUGACAGGAGGACACCAGAACAUUCCUAUAGAGGUCUAAGGGCUCGCCUACAAUGAGUCCUAUCCGACCCAGGACUUCUUUGUCAUUCAUAAAGUCUACAGUAACGAAUUUGACUAUGCCGCCCCUGAGGAAGUUCCUAAAUUCUUUGCACUCAACAUCGGCAUGGCAUAUGUGGUAGACCAAGCACAAAUUAUGCACGCAAACCUGGAUCACGACGAGAUUCUUCUUCUCUUCCUCCUUUAGAUUCUUCUCUUUGUCCCGGAUUGUGGUGUACUCAGAAUUUAGCCCAGCGACCCACUUUGCCUUUGAGUUUUCGAACAUGCGUCUGAAGCGAGCAAGGCAUCCUUUCACGGUCGCAGAAGAAGGGGUGUAGAUGAUGUCGAACUCAUCGCCGCUCAUGGUUCUAACCUUGUACUCAUCGCCGAUCAUGGAGAUUUGGGAGGAGGGUUAGGAUUAGUCGAGCUGCUGUAAUGUGAAAGGACGGGACGACUAGGAGCGAACUGUCGUAAUGUCAAAGGACGGCCGGGGACGAGUAGGAGCGAACCGCUAGCAGUUUUCCAAUUGUAAAAAUGCUGAGUGGGGCGUGCGAAUGGUAGGGCUUUCCAUGCUCCCAUGAUACGGGCUUCCGAGAGCCCUUAGAUCUUUGAUUGAAUGGUUGCAUGGCGUGAUUCUUCACCUAUGGGUGAAUAUCCUAUCCUAGAGGGUUAUUCUGCAAAUUUUUAGCAACUUAGCAUGCGACCGUUCGAUCUCAGAUCCAAGGGCUGUCAGCAGCCCGUAUCAUGGUCGCGCCUACCACGACAGUCGCCUCGCUCGCAUUGUCGCGCCCUUGGAGAUUUCAGACGGCUAUAAAUGAGCAUUUUUUGCCUACUUCGCAUGCAUGAAACUACUUCCUCCGUCCAGGUGCGUUAGGCUAUCUAAUGUUGGCAUGUCAUACAUAGUCAUCACUUAGUCACUCAUACAACAAGAUUAGCUAUAAGGUUGGCUAUAAGAGUAUUUUUUUUUACUUCUCUCUAUCUCUUUCUUCGUACUCCCUUCAUUUCAGUUUACAAGUCCUGCGCGUAUACUUAGGUUGUCAACUUUAUCACCGUAAUAUAAACUAUAUAACACAAAAAUUAUACCAUUUGAAAAUAGAAUGUCUGAAGUUUAUAAUGGUAUGUUUGUUGUAAUAGUGUAUAUGACUUCUAUUAGGUUGGUCAAAUUGACGACCUAGGGGUACGCGCACGCCUUGUAAACUGAGAGAGAGUAGUAUUUAUUGUGUUUGCCAAAAGGAGUAUACAGUACUUGGCACCUGUAUACCAUGGAGGUGGUCAGGAAACAGGAGACUCACGUCGGUCGUAGUGCCACAAUUAAAAUGUAAUGACAGGUCAAAUCACAGGUUCCACCUAUCCAGCAGUAACUCGCCGUCAAAUCACACAACCCUACAUUUGCAGCAGCCUACUCCCUCAUCUUCUCGCCUCUCUGUCAAACCAACUAGGCGGAACUGCCCCACCUACCGCACGGGAAAAGACCCGCCCUUGACUUUUAAAUAUAAUUUUGUAUCCAUGGAUUGCGCCAUGGAGCAAAGCCUCAAGAAAAUGACGGUACACAUGUAUACAACACGCCCGUUGCAUUCGCGUCGCACCCCAAACGGUCGGUCGGUCUGGCAUGCAAUUCUCCGAUAAUAUGUAUCCAUGUUAUACAUUGCAAAAAUAAUAUAAUUUGAAAGUACAUUCAGAUACGAACCAAAUGAUACAAUUUUUGGUGACAUGUAUUCACAUUUUGCUUNNNNNNNNNNNNNNNNNNNNNNNNNNNNNNNNNNNNNNNNNNNNNNNNNNNNNNNNNNNNNNNNNNNNNNNNNNNNNNNNNNNNNNNNNNNNNNNNNNNNAAGCAGUGCUCAAUACAAAUCCACCAUGAAGACCUUUCUCAUCCUUGCCCUCCUUGCUAUUGUAGCAACCACCGCCACAAUUGCAGUUAGAGUUCCAGUGCCACAAUUGCAGCCACAAAAUCCAUCUCAGCAACAACCACAAGAGCAAGUUCCAUUGGUACAACAACAACAAUUUCCAGGGCAGCAACAACCAUUUCCACCACAACAGCCAUAUCCGCAGCCGCAACCAUUUCCAUCACAACAACCAUAUCUGCAGCUGCAACCAUUUCCGCAGCCGCAACUACCAUAUCCGCAGCCGCAACUACCAUAUCCGCAGCCGCAACUACCAUAUCCGCAGCCGCAACCAUUUCGACCACAACAACCAUAUCCACAAUCGCAACCACAGUAUUCGCAACCACAACAACCAAUUUCGCAGCAGCAGCAGCAACAACAACAACAACAACAAAAACAACAACAACAACAACAACAACAACAGAUCCUUCAACAAAUUUUGCAACAACAACUGAUUCCAUGCAGGGAUGUUGUAUUGCAACAACACAGCAUAGCGUAUGGAAGCUCACAAGUUUUGCAACAAAGUACUUACCAGCUGGUGCAACAAUUGUGUUGUCAGCAGCUGUGGCAGAUCCCCGAGCAGUCGCGGUGCCAAGCCAUCCACAAUGUUGUUCAUGCUAUUAUUCUGCAUCAACAGCAACAACAACAACAACAACAACAACAAAAACAACCAUUGAGCCAGGUCUCCUUCCAACAGCCUCAACAACAAUAUCCAUCAGGCCAGGGCUCCUUCCAGCCAUCUCAGCAAAACCCACAGGCCCAGGGCUCUGUCCAGCCUCAACAACUGCCCCAGUUUGAGGAAAUAAGGAACCUAGCGCUAGAGACGCUACCUGCAAUGUGCAAUGUCUAUAUCCCUCCAUAUUGCACCAUUGCUC
RNAcentral lists this long non-coding RNA (53495 nucleotides) under Triticum aestivum (bread wheat). RNAcentral's name for it is "long non-coding RNA (TAES_LNC019049)". Lineage: Eukaryota; Viridiplantae; Streptophyta; Magnoliopsida; Poales; Poaceae. The record is from RNAcentral.